Molecule: long non-coding RNA, 75059 nt
Filed under: Cucumis sativus (cucumber)
Lineage: Eukaryota; Viridiplantae; Streptophyta; Magnoliopsida; Cucurbitales; Cucurbitaceae
Description: long non-coding RNA (CSAT_LNC000882)
Rfam family: tRNA (bases 29989-30061)
Source: RNAcentral
AAAAAAAAAAAAAAAAAAAAAAAACUAAACAAACUAGUUAAACCCACAAAUUCAAAACCAACACCCCAAACAUAAGUAUCAGAAACUCAAAUUUUCAAAUCCUAUCCCAAACACAGACAUUUGUAACUUUUAGGCAUCAAAACCCCAUCAGAUAAGCCUACAGACGUUUAAUUUCUAGUAAUUUGAUUUCAAACCUACACACCAAAUGUUAUGAGCAUGCUUGUUCAGGGCGUUGUUUGCCUAUGGCCGCAUGCCAAAACAUUCUCAACCUGCCUUAUCCUUUAUGUUUUGUAUUUAGUUUAGUUUAGUCCAUUGUUUUCCUUUUGCUGUUGUUGACCUUUGGGUGUGACAUUUCGCACUUUUCCUAUGUAAGCAUGUCAAAUCUAAAUAUGUUUAAAAUGUACUAUAAGGGAGAUCCACUAGUUGAAUCCCUGACCAAGUUUUGUCGUACUCUUUGCAAUCUAAGCUUUCUUUGCAAUUGGCAGUCUUCAAUGAUUUUUUCAAUUCUUUCUUUCUCUCUCACGUUUUAUAAACACAAUUUUCUCUCAAAACGUGAAGGAAAGCUACAUAAUAUCGUGAGUUUGCUUGCAACUUUCAGAUUUAGUACUGCUAACUUGUUCAUCGAGGUAAGACAAGUGUCUCACAAUCGUCUGUCCCAUAUCUGAAAGGUCGAGAUAAUGACAAGCGGUAUUGAAGCUUUUUUAUCUCCUUGGCUAAGUGAGACACAAUUAUGUCGACAAUGAAACAACUUUCGAAGUAGCAAUUUGAGCCAUUGACUGGAAUUUAAGAGCAAUUCUUGUACAUGAGAGAAUUGUCAAACGAAGUAAGAUUUCUCUAGACUCGACUGACUGAGUUGGAUAAAAAGGUUGGAGCACAUUAGAUGCAUUAAAUGCCCAGAUAGACGGACUACCUGUAAACGAAUUAACGCUAAUGGUUGAUUCGAUAGAACAUAAAACCGCCCAAGCAGUUAGUUUUGAACUUGAGAAUAGUUCUUCGAAUUCUGUUACACACAUGGAAGAGCAUGUCAAAGAGCUUGACUAUUCCCAUAAGACCAUGCUAAAGUUGUUUAGCGAUCUGUCAGACGACUUUAGAGCCACGAUAGAGACAAUCAAAACCAAAAUGGUCGAGAUGAAAGUGCAAGUGAAUUUAACGAUGUGAGCACUAGCAAACCAGAUUUCGAAUCAAGCAUGUAUUGCUUCGUGGAAGUUCAAGAUCCUGAAACCCAAAGCCUUCAAUGGGAACCUCGAUGCUAAUGAGUUUGAAAUUUUCAUCUUUGAUAUGGAACAAUACUUUAAGGCCAGUGGAACCAACUUUGAGGAAACUAAGGUGACAUUAGCCUUCAUGCAUCUGUUUGAUGAUGCAAAGCUUUAAUGGAAGUUGAAAGUUAACGACGUCCAAAAUUGUCAAUGUAACAAUACUUUAAGGAAGAACUAAGAGCUUAGUUCUUUUUUGAAAAUGUUGAAUUUAUUGCAAGAAGCUAGAAAACUGGGGGAACUUAGACACGGGGAACCAUAAGAGACAUGUCGAAAAAGCAUAAAGUAUUGUGCUUUGUAGAAGGGCUCAAGUUGUGGGCUGAGACAAAAUUAUAUUAACAAAAAAUUCAAGAUCUUGCCUCUACUCUUGCUACAGCAGAGAGAUUAUUUAACUACGGUGGCGACCAAGAGUCUUAAAAGAAGAAUGUGACAACACUAAAUCUCGAGAAUAGCGUCUUCAAGCCUAAUUAUGCAAGAAACUUCGCAUGAUAAGAAAUCGUAGACCCUAAGCACUAUUCUCCUCGAGGAGCACAUAAGUCAUGUUCGAAUCAGACAAGACCUAUUUUUUGCUUAUUGUGUAAAGGCCCCUAUCAAGUAUCUGAGUGUCAAUACUGGGGAUCGUUGACAAAAUUAUAAGAUCUUAGUACAUGAUCCAUGAUCGUGUAUCAAAUCUAAACGAUCUUGGUUCAAAAUCUGUAGCAAAUAUAAAAGAUCUUGGUACACGAUCUUGAAUAAAAAUCAUUUAGAUAUUGGCACACAAUCGCGUACCAAGAGCUAAACGUCGUGUACAAAGUCUAAAGGAUAUUAGUACACGAUCUUGUACUAAAUAUAAAUUAUCUUGGUAUAGAUCUUGAACCAAGUUUGUUUAGAUUUUGUACACGAUUAUUUAGCUCUUUGUAUGUGAUCGUGUAUCAAUAUCUAAAUGAUCUUGAUUCACGAUCGUUUAGAAGAAGAAUUACACGCGCACGUGUGGUCAAUGUUGAUACUACCUACACGAUCGUAUAUCAUUUCAUACAUGAUUGCGUAUGAGAUCGCUUAGAAGAAGAAUUACACACGCCCGUGUGGCCGAUUAAUCGUGUGUUGUCAGAAAGAUUUUUUAUAUUUUUCAUUGUGGGUAUUUGGACCUUUUCCAUUUUCGAAAUUGUUCCAUACAGUGUGAAUAUUUUGUUGGGUUUGUUAUAUUUUUUUUAAAAAAUCUCAUUAUAAAAUUCUAAAACAACUGAUUUAUUAGAGAAGAUUUAGUUAAUUAAAAGAAUUGAGUAUCUGGUUUGAUUUGAGAUCUUAAAAGGAAAAGUUAGUUUUGGUGGACCUCAAUCCUCAACUACAUCACAAACCUCGGAAAAUCUCACUGCUCCAAUUAACAUUGAACAGAUACUCGUAAAUCUUGUCACAACCAAUAUAACACCCAACCAAUCCAUACAAAUUCCUACACAUAAAUGACCCCAAACUAAAAAAUUCAUCCCGUGUUUCAAAACUUCCAAGCUACCUCUAGAACUACCAGUGUAACCUUAUAAAAAGGUCCUCUCCCCAAUUACCACCAACUUACAUCCUUUACAUAACCACAUCUCUUGUGAAAACCUCUCAACCCAAUAUUGCGAGACCUUUGCAAUGAACAUAUCCACACAUUAUGAACUCCAAUUUUACCAUCAAGCUGUCCCAUAUGAAUGUUGGAAAUUAGAUAUAUAAAAGUUGAGUUAGAAACCAUGGAGGUCAAUAACACGCAUGGAUGAUCAUUCCACUUCCAACCCACAAACAUUCAAUUGGUUGUAGAUGAAUUUAUAAAUGCAUAAAGCAGAUGGUUCCAUAGAAAGAUACAAAGCUCGGUUGAUCACAAAGAAAUAUACUCAAUAUGAAAAUUACAUAAGUCGGUAUAUGGAUAGAAGCAAGCUUUUUGACAAUGGUUUACAAAGUUCUUUAACACCUUGAUAUCUUUAGGUUUUCAGCAAUCAAAAGCUUAUUACUCCUUAGAGGUUCUGAUGCUGACUUCUUAGUCCUGUUAGUAUAUACGUAGACGACAUCAUGAUUAUUGGAGUAAAUGAGUCUCAAAUUACACAAGUAAAAAUCCUCUUAAAUAAGAAGUUUAAGGUAAAAUAUUUAGGAGAACUCAAAUACUUCUUAGGAUUAAACUGGCAAGAUUUUCUCAAGGGAUUUUUCUAUCCCAAAGACAUUUCACUUUACAAUUACUAGAAUCUUGGCUGAAAACCAGAACCUGUACCCAUGGAUCCUAGUCUCAAACUGAGUAAGGCCAUUAGUGAGCCCUUGAAAGAUCCCUUUACGCAUCGAAGGUUGAUUGGCAUGUUACUUUAUCUUACUAUAACAAGAUUGGAUAUUAGUUUUAUUGUCAACAAGCUAAGCCAACUGUGUCUCAAACCUUGUUAAGCUCACCAUUUAGUUGUCCAUCACUUAUUGAAGUAUUUGAAAAAUGCUCCAGAAUAAGGUGAUUCUUCGACCAACCAAAAACUUUCAAUUGAAAGCAUUUGCAGACUCAAAUUAGUCAUCAUGUGUUGAUACUCGGCGUUCUACCUACAUGAUUUUGCAUUUUCUUGGGAGAUGCUCAGUGUCAUGGAAGUCCAAGAAGUAGAAUGUAGUCUCACGAUCUUCAACAGAGGAAGAAUAUUGAUCCAUUACGCUGACAUUGUGUGAACUGAUUUGGUUACAUUCUUUGUUAAAAGAUUUGCAACUUCCUUCCUCAAACAAUCUUGUUUUGUGACAAUCAAAUUGUUGUCCAUGUUGCCUCUAAUCCAACCUUCCAUGAACAAACGAAACAUAUAAAACUUGAUUGUCACUUCAUAAGAGAAAAAGCUCCAUUUGGUUUCUUGAAGAUUUUACGUAUCAAUUUUCGAAUUCAACUCGUAUAGAUACUCUCACAAAUUAGUCACUUACAUCUAUUGUGUUUUGUCUCUAUUGUUAUCCAAGAUGGGUUUAUUGAAUAUUUUCAAUCCAUCUCGAGAGGGAGUAGCACAUAUAAACUGAAGUUUGUUAUUCAGUUAUCAAUUAGUUUUAUCUCACACUCGAUGUAAUGCCCAUUAUACAUACGUGUGUGUGUAUAUGGUUGGUACGUAAAGUUAAUGAAAUAAGGCAGACUUAUUUUGACCCUUCUUCCUCGUUAAACCUUGUGUUUCUUUCUCCUCUAUUUCUUGUUAUGUGUAUGACUCGUGAUCAUCCUAUGUUAAAUACUAACCCUUCUUUCUAUACGAGUUCUAGAGCAAUAUAUAUAUAUAUAAAAGAAUGCUAAACUUUACAUGGUGGCUAUGAAUUGCCAAAUAUUAUUAUAUAAAGCCAAUUCUCCAAGGUUGUAUGAAUAUAUGUGAAUAAAUUAACUAACUUAGUACAUUUAACUUUUAAUUAUUAAACGUAGGCACGUGAGAUUAUACCAAAAAAAGAGAAAACUCAAAAAUCCUUUUAAUAAUAACAAUAAUAAAACAAUAAAUUCCUCAAAGUGGUUUUCAAGUUGAAUCUUGAAACCAUCCAACUGCUUAUUUAGUCAUUGAGUCGUGUGGUUCUUUUAUUUUUCAUAUUUUGGAAGAAAACCCAAACUCAUGGAUUCCAUUAAAACUUGUGGAUUUACCAUAUGCGGUUUCAUAAACUUCUUAGUCAAUAUGUGGAUUCCAUACAACAUUAUUUUUUGCAACAUCUAAUUUUAGGUUCUCUCUUUUUCUAUUUUUCUUUCUUUUUUCAUUCUUCUUUUAUACAAUCUUUACUGUUUAUAAAGUAAGCAAAUAUUUUCCAAUAACUUUAAUAAUUAACACUUUGCCUCUUUUUCUUUUUCGUUUUUUCUUUAUUUGCCACUAUCAAUAUUGUAAUAAUAAUACCAUUAAUUAUUACUUAAAAUAUUACAUGCACAUUUCAAACUUGAUUAUUUAAUAACUAUAUUUUCAUGAAUAUGUUUAAAUUAUAUACAUGAAAUUCUUGAUAGAUAAUUAUAACGUUGCACUAAAAAAAAUUCAGGUUAAACUAAUCAUUUACGUAAAAAUAUUUAUUGAAAACUAACUCUUCAAUUACAAAAUUUGAAGUGAUAUUUUCUAAUAUAUAAUUUAAUAUUAAAUUAAAAUAUUUAUAAACUCUAUCUAUCCAACCGUUUAAUAGACUUUCAUAGAUUUCUAUUAGUAUCUAUGAGGAGUAAUAUUUAUAGGUUCGUUUUUUAUAAUUUUUCAAUUUCAACCAAUUUUAUCUAAUUUAAUUAAUUUCUUUCCAAAAAAAUGGAAAUGAUUCUCCCCAAUAAUUCAAGCAUUAGAACUUCUGUACUACAAUCUCUAUCAAAUUAAAUGAGAAUUUUUUAAAAUACCAAAAGUGAAAAGGAGAGAUAGGGACAAGAAAAACAACUCUAACCUCAUUUCAUCUCAUAAAUAUCUCUAGGUUGAAAACCAACAAUAAAAUCUUUUAUUGAUAUAGGAAUACACUUUGAAACAUUCAAUGUCGAUAUUAGAUAUUUAUGAAUAUCAUUUUAUACAUACUCAAAAUAUAAUAAAUGUCAAAUAUUUAAUCCAACAUGAGUAAAGUUUAGAAGUAAAGACAACCUAAAAUAUUAAAGAGCGUUUGCAAAAAGAAAAAGUGGGUUCAUACCCUUACAUUUUCUAAGUUAGUUAUUGAAUAUAUCUAAUUACUCGUUAUUUUGUCGUAUUUACAAAAUAUAUAAAAAAGAUGGGUUAAGGGAGUGUUUUUUUCUAAUUCUUUUUUUGUUAGGUAAUGCAAUUUCUCAAAUAUACUAGUAAAUAAUUUUUGUAAAAAAAUUAAUGAAAAAGAAAAUAUUUAGUAAAAACUCACUAAAAUAAUUAUAAAAAAAAUGUUGCUACCAAUUUUAUCAUAAAAUAUAAAUAUAUUUUCAACUAUAUAAUUUUUGAGUUUGUGGGACGGACACAAUAGAGAGACAUUGAUAUUUAAUAAUGAGUAAACUAUGGGGAAUGAGGAGAAUAUAGUAAUUUAAGUUUGGAAAAUAAAAUAAUUAGUCCUUGAAAUCACAGGUAACGUUAAUAAAUAAACAACUAAAAGAAGAAAACAGCGUAAACGCCUUUUUCACAAAAUCCAGGAAUCCUUCUCCACCAAAGCACCUUGUUUUCUCCUCAAAACCAUGGCUUCCAAAAUCUUCCUCCUUUCCCUUUAAUUUUCCCCUUUCUUUUCCCCUCUCUCUAUAAAUACUCACAUCUCACCAAAAUUCCACAAACCCAUUACAAAUCUCUUCAAUUCCUUCUUCUUUCUUCUUCUUCCAUCAAUUCAAUUCACCAAACCUAGAAACACACACAGAGAGAGAGAGAGAGAGAGAGAGAACAAAAAACAGAGCAGCAUGUCUAGGAGCGCAGUUUGCAGAGCGUGGUUCGUGGCGGCGAGCAUCGGGGCAGUCGAGGCGUUGAAGGAUCAAGGGGUUUGCCGGUGGAAUAAUGUGAUUAAAUCACUUCAACAACAUGGGAAGACCAAAGUUAGGUCUUACUAUCAAGCUAAGAAGCUCUCUGCUUCUUCUUCUUCCGCCAUUGCUAACCAGAUCAAGAAGUCUAGAGAGGAUAAGAUGAGGAAAGUUAUGGAUUUGAGCUGUUUGGGACCUAGUACUAUUAGAUUCUAGGACAUGUUUUUGUUUAUGGGUUUAUAUGAAGAGUGUUUUGGGUCUUGGUCAUGUGGGGUAGAAGAAGAUAUAAUGUUCUUACCAAAAGAAAAAAAAAAGUACUUCUAGAGAAAUGAUAUAUAUAUAGGUUGUUUCUUCUCUUGUUUUUGUUUAUGUUUGUGAUGGUUUUGGGUUUGAAGUUUGGUAAUGAAGCUUCAAUUCCCUUCACUUUUUUUUUUGUAAAUAGGUCUCUGGACUCUGGAUUACAUAUUAAUGGACAUUCAAAUUCAAAUCUUCCUCUCUUCCAAAAUGGAGAUGGAGAAGAAUUCUCUGUUUUUUUUUUCUUUUCUUUCCAUUUCCCUUUGUUGGGACCAAGAAUGUUUUGAGCACACAGAUCAUCCAAGAUUUCAAUUUCAAAAUAAAUAAAUUAGCUAUUUGUUGAAAAAAUAAAUAUAACAUUAGAAAAGAUUAUAGACAACUUUGUUAUUUUUUUUGCAAUUUUGAAAAUGUAUAAGUGAAAUAAAUUUUAUUAUAAAAAAAAUACUUUUUUGUUACUUUUACAAACUCGCUAUUUUCUGUUGUCGUAAAACGGUUCGAUUUGUAGAUUAUUAUAUUUCAGAUUUUUGGUUUUAAAAAAUUAAACUUUUUGGAAAGUUGUUAGAAGAAAACAAGUUUUCAAGUAAUAUUUGUCUUUUAGUAGCAAAUAGUUUGGGAAAAUUUUCUAUUUUUUAAAAAAUUCCUUAUUUUUAAUUAAAAAUUAAAAAAUGAAUUAAUUAGCAAAUGAAACUUUCAUAUUUUUAAAACAACUCUAAAUUUAUUUUAGAUGAUAUAUAAUUAAAUUAGUUAAUUGUAAAAAUUAUUUAAUUAAAGUAUAAUAGUAGUUGUAAAUAUACCUUUAAAUAUUUAAAAUUUAAAAUUAAACCUAAUCAAAUAUAAAAAACUGUAUUAACAAUAAGUUUGGGGAUUUAAAUUUCAUAGUCUCAUCAAUUUUUUUACAAUUAUUGUAUGUUUGAUGAUCCAAUUUUAACAAUUUAGAAGUCUAAAAGUCCAACGGUAGUUAGAUCAAUCGAUGAUUUAAGAUGUUCAAACUGGUACGUUGUUUCCUCUUCUAUUAAUAUUCAAUUUUCACUCCACAGGUAAAAGGUGUUACAUAUUAUUUUAAACUUGCCUUCUUUUAUCAAUUUUGAAAUACUCAACCCUAAACAUUUUAAGUUCAAUUUUUGCUUUCUAAUAAAUCCGAUCCAUGAAAAAGGAUUACACUUUAAUGACAUUACUCAUCUUAAGAUAGAAUGUUUAGAUAUAAUAUACGGUCUUGAAAGAAAGAAUGAGAAUCAUCUAGAAAAGUUAUAAGAAACCUCACGAAUUAUUUUUAAAAAGAUAAUGUUUUAAUUUUAAUAUGUUGAGAUGAAAUCUCAUAUAUAUAUUUUUAUUCUUGAAUGUUAAGCUAAUUUUUGGGGAAGUUGCCAUUUUUAUUAGAUUAAAUAAAAUAUAAUUUCGGUCCAAUGUUUGGGCUUUGGUUUUUAGUUUAAUCUAUGUACCUUUAGUCCCACGUUUUCUCCCAACCUUAUAUAAUAAAAAGUGCUAAAUAAAUUAUCACACAAAAUUACCAAUUUGGUCUUCUUCUUCUUCUUCUUUUCUUUAUUUAUAAAUUAAUUAAAUUAAAAUAAAAUAGGUGAAUUUGUUUUAGAACAUAAAACAUCUAAAACUACCCAUUUCAAUUCCAUUGUUUUAAUACAUAUACUCAAAAAGAAAAUAUUACUUAUUGAUACUUAGUUUAGUAUGUGAUAUCCAAUAAAAUAACAUAAUGGGUAUCAAUCAAAUUAUUAUGCCAACACGUUGAAAAUACAAUCGAAUAUUUCUCUCUCUAAAUUAUUCUUUAUAUAUAAAUAAGAGAUAAAAGACAAAGAAUUAUUGUUAGAAAUAGUGAUAGGCUCAUAGCUAACAUAUUAGUUGAAGUCAAAUAAUGAAGUUAAGGUGUGAAGAAAUGAAUUGUACUGAAUUAAAUAAGAUAUUAAGUAGUUGAGGGGAUGUGUGGUGACAGACAUGCCCAUUUUUGAGAUCUAGAGAUGCAAAUCAAAAAAUUUCAAACCUUACAGAUAAAUGUAACAAUCAAUGUACCAUAUCUGACUAAUGGGUCAUAAAUUAUUUGGGAUAACCACAUAAUGUGUUAGACCAUUUUAGGAUUGUGUGGUUAUCCCAAGUAAUUGUAAAUAAAAUAAACUAAAUUUUGUGGCUCAUAGAAUCUAUUACUAGCUAACAAUUGAGUUUGAUGAAUUUUUACAACAUUAUUUUAAAUUAAUAUAAUUUAAGGAGAAGUAUCGAGAUUAGGUCAAAGUACCAUUUCGAUCUCAUUGUCGUUUUUUUUGUUUUUUCUUUUUCUUUCAAAUGGAUUCAAUGAUUUAUGAAUAUAUUUUAAAAUUUAUGGUAAAUGUGAAAGUGGAUUAUUUUUUUAAAAGAAUUUAAGGAGUGAAUUUAAGAUUUAUUAAAAGUGAAUGGACUAAAAUUGAAUUUUAAAAUAUAUACAUACUAACAUUCAACAAACUUCCAAGUAUAAGUAUCGAAAUGGUAUUUUAACCAUAAAUGUUAUGUCAACUUUAAAGUAAUAAACUAAAUUGUUUGAAAAUGUUAUUAGAUAAUAUGAUAUUUCAUCUCAAAACCAAUUUAAACUAUAACAAAAUUGGUGGUUCAUUAUACAACAUACAACAGUAUAGUCAAAUUAAGCUGCAGAGAAAAACAACACUACAAGAAAUCAGGGCAUUCCCGAUGUCAAAAUGGGUGUCAAUGAAGUGUAUGUCGGGAAUGUCCCACUAUUUCUUGAUGCCGCUAGGCAAGCGUCAGCAGAGAUGUCCAUUCCCUACGUCCACAUUUAGCUAGGCAUCGAGAAUGGUCAACUAACCCCCAACAUCAAUGUUCAUGGCAUUGAGAAAAGAGAUAUUAUUAUUUUAUUUUUUAAUUAUUCCUGACGUCAUGCUAACACACGUUAGGAGUGAUGUUAACUAUUCCCAACAACAUAAGUGAAACGUUAGAAAUGGAGGCACCUUUUUUUACGUUGUACUUUACGGCGUUGGGAAUAGGUGGAUCUUCUGACGUUCAUAAAGUGAGUCGGAAGAUCCCCUACAUAUUUGAGUUUUGUAUUCACAUAACACAUAACUCAAAUUGAAAGGAAAAGAGGAAAAGACCGAGAGAGAGAGAUCGCCGUCCAUCCGUUGUCGUCUGCUCUGCUCGUCGCCGACACCCCCUCUGUCUUUGUCUCUUUCACAACCUCUUGGUUGGAGGUAAUUCAAAGUUUAAUAUCUUAAAUAUAAUCCCUUUUGAAUUUGUUCUUAAUUUCCUUUUCUAUCAUUGGGUUUCUUUCUAACUCUCCCAAUAUUUCUUCUUGAUUUCUGUUUUUGUUAUAUUCAACAGUUUGAAAUGUGUUGAUAUCGCUCUUUAUGUUAUUGGCAACAAUGGUGAGUUUAGAAGGUAAAGUAUAUGAUUUUAUUUUUCUUGUUGUUUACUUAUUGUUUAGUGUGUGCUUGUGGUUUGAAUUUUUGUAUACGUUUGUUUGCACACAACAACUGCAAAAGAGGAGGAAGUUGAAGAAGAUGAAAUGGAUGGUUACCCAAGCAGGAAGAUGACGACAACGAGAAGAUGUUUCUUUUUUUUUUUAAAUAGAGGAUAUCCAGAUGCACGAGAUAUAGCGUCGGGAUAUCCUCUCUCGAAAGACUUUUUCCAACUUCGAACUCAAUGCGAAUUUAUGUGUCAAAAAAUUAUUUUCCGACGUUUUUUCUAUUUCUCCCGAUGCUUUUGUGUGUUGGGAGAUCCUCAUUUUCUUGUAAUACGAUCAUAAAUACUACAAUGUACAACUUUUUUUGCAAGAUUAAUAAAUGUUGAUUUUUAUAUUUUUUGAAAUGUAUGACAUUUGUAAGUGUCACCAAACUAUGUAUGGGCGGAUCAAUUAAGGGGUCGAGGGGAGCACGUGCCCCCCAUCAUAUUUCCGGUUUUUGUAUUUUAAUAUUAAUUUUGAAGUGUUAAAUUAUAAUAUAUCUUAAAUAAUGCUUUAAUUUUACUAUAUUUUGCAUUUGGUAUAGUAGUUGUGGCCCUCAUUUAAAACUCUAGGGUUGUAGGUUCAAACCCCUACAUAUGAUUUUUGGAUACGCUGCUAAGUGACUAUUAAGAUUGUAAUUAGGUCGCUAAGUGACUAUUAAGAUUGUAAUUAGGUCGCUAAGUGACUAUUAAGAUUGUAAUUAGGUGAUGAACCAGUAAGUAUUUCAAUUCAAGGUGAAAUAUUGAAGGAUAAGAAGUUUAAUUUUCAAAUUGAUAAAAAAAGUUAAAGAAUAGGAGGGUAAUAUUUUUAUGUUACCAUAUAACAUUUUCAUUGUUCUUCUCGUCCUUCUAAAUCCUUCUUUUCCUUUUCAUUGUCCUUUUCAGCCUUAAAUUAUAUUGUUGUUGAAGUAAUUUGGGUGAUAUGUGUAGCAAAAUUGCUUCACCUUUGGACCAGUCAUUAAUUUUAAAAUUGAGCGUGUCAAGAGAUUCAUUUAAUAAUGCAUAGCAAAAGACGAAAAGGGUGACAAUAACAAUGCCAUUGUUUUGUUCUAUUUCAUAUCUUUUAACUUUUUAUUCCAUAACCCUAUGAUACUUUGCAUGGCUUCUCGAAUGAAAAUGCAAAGAAUGCUCCCUUACUUAACGUCAACAACAACAACUUAGUUUACAUAAAAACCAAGUUGGCCAUUGACCACGACAUAUCAUAUAUUCUCUCCGAGUCAAUAACGCACCAAAUGCAAGUAGUACAAUUUGAGAAUUACCAUCAAUAGUAUGCAGACAAACGUGUUAGCGUACCCAGGUAUUUAUUCUUCAUGAAUGCACUAUCAACUGAAAUUAUUGGUAAACAAUAAUUCUAUGCAUCGAUAGAAGCAACAAGAUUCAUGAAAUAAUACUUAAACCUACCUUCGCUUUCUGCUUCUUUGAUAGUAUAUGUUCAUGUAAAUAGUGAAACGAAAAAUGAGCUACGCUUGAUAACUUAGAAUGUAUCAUACUUGAAUUACAUUGUAUUUAUGAAAGCAUGUGUACUUGAAUUAUUCGAAUCAAUGUAGUAGAGAAUGUUGACAACAUGGCAUUAUAAGGCCUCUGGAGUACCCCUAAUAGAAUUCAAAGCAAUUUCACACCCUCUCCGAGCCUUGUCACAACUAGCUUACAUACACUCCCAUGAUGCAUUUUUAUACAAUUAACAACAUCAGAAAAAUGGCUUUGUACACUAGAAAUAAUCUAAGAUGUUGCUUGCCUAAGAUCAUCUUUUACUAUGCAUGUCAACCAGCACACGGGUGCUGGGUAUUUGUGAAUUUACGAACUAUCCAAAUAUCACUUUUAUUAAAUAUAGAAUUAUCACGUAAAUACCAAGGACAUGACGGAUCCUUAUAUCAAAUAUCUAAUGAGAUACAAUUCGACCUAAUCAUAAUAAGUUCAAAACUAUUGUUAAUAGCAAACAAUAAAUAGCUUUUUAGUUUCAAUAUUGAUUUGCUUAUAACAUUAAUCCUACUUUAAUAGGAAUUUCAGCGUGAGAUGAUUCAAAUGCAUCAAAGUCAAUAAUUUUGGUGCCAUGAUGUGAAUGUUAAGAUCUAGGUAUUUCACUAUUUAAAUACGCUAUACUUCUAGCAACACUCGCUAAUAUAGAGUUCAGCAAUCACAAAUAAAUCCUUAUAGAAGAAUUUCGAUAGAACUAACAUAAGCCAAGAAACAUUUUUAUCGUUCUCGCCAAUUUGAAUGAGAUUGGAAUGGUUGCGACCAUCCUAGUAAAUUGUCAAACGAGAAAUAGAUAGAUUGGCAAAUGGAAAAAGUUUACCUUGAAUAUAAUACAUUCAACAGAUUGUUGAAACGAAGUUGCAAAUAAAACAUAGCCCGAUAAUCAUGAUACUAGGAAGUUAUGAUCCAUCUACCAUAAAAAAUAGUCUUUACUCGUUGUAAAUUAAUAACAAAAACUUCUUGAUUACAAUUCUAUUCUUGUCUUCCAAUUGUAUAAUAGACACGAACUUUUUAAAAUAUAUUGCUAUAGGUCGAUCUAGUACAUAUAAAAUAAUUAACAUGCAAAUCAUUUCAAACAAGUAAAAUAUAGUCUAAAAUUAGUUUAAAUACAACUUUAAUUAAAAUAAUAAAAACGUAUAAGAGAAACAUACAAUUUCCAAAAUCCAACUUUAAAAAUACAAAUAUAUAUUAAAAAUACAUAUAUUCAAAAAUUUAUUAAAGAUAUAUCAUACAACUACUAAAUAUCUUUAAACUUGAAUUAAAAAUGUAUUUAAAAUACAACUAGAUCCAUUGAGAUUCAGUUCUUAAAUUUCGAUUCAUUUACGAUAUAAUCUCAUAACCAAUAAUUGAGUAAAAUACACUGUGUUUCAUAAAAUCGAUCACCUUAUCAAUAUUCACUAUUACAGUUACAAAAUCGAGAUACAUUUAAAAUGCAUUGUAUGCAGUAAAGAUGAUUUACCCACAACCAUAGGUAAAAAUGGAAUAUUUAGAAAACUAGAAAUGUGGGUGUCACAACUUUGUUAAAAGUCUUAUACUCGUCGGUUAUAUCUAUAUUUGAAAGGGGCACCUCCAAUUUUGUCAUUGUAACAAAUUUCACUCUAUAUAAAUGGUGUGAUUAUGGCAACCUAGCCCACCUCCAUAUACAUCUAACUCAAACAGCCCAUCAAUCAUAACCAUCACCCUAAUUUCAAAGAAGUAGGAAAAACAAGAAAACUAGAGGUUGUUUGAGUCAUAACUAACUCACCUUUUACUGCAACAAAUAUUAUUAAAAGUCUUCAAUUAGCUAUAUAAACGACACUAUUUCAAAGCCGUAUCUGAUAUUGUAUAUAUUUACUAUUUGCUACACUUUUAAUACUAUUUUACAUUAUGUCGUUUUUCUAUUCUUUUCUACAGUAUUUACUAUUUCCUUCUCAAAUUAAUUAAAAUAGUUUUCACCUUAAUUUCAUCCCAUUGCAAUCCAAAGUAAAAUAUAAUUUACACUCCAAACAUAAACUAUUGUACUUCGAUUAUAAUAAUUUAGGACGAAUAACCAACUUUUGGACCCAAACAAUGCCAUCAAUUGUAAAUUGAAAAAAAAAAAAAAAACCACAUAUGAUUAUCCCCAUCCUCCUCCGACCUCCAUAGCUUCCCUCUACACCGAUCUUCCCGUUUCCUCAAUGGUUCAACGAUCUAUAGCUCCAUCGUCCCCGCACCAUCAUUCUCUUUGAGUUCAACAUUUUAGAUAAGUUUUUUUUUCUCUUUCUAUUUUCUUUUUGUUGAAAAAAUUGGCACUAACUAAAGAGACACUCACUUGGAAGAAAGAAAGUUUUAUUGAGACAAUUUACAAAUGAUGGACACUUUUAGAGGGAACACUGCUCACUCUCACUUAAAAUUUCUUACUAACUCUCUUUCUCUCUUCCUCAUCCACUAGGAUAGUGUUGAAAAAUGUGAGUAAUUGAAAAUAAAAUGGAAAUGAGAACUGUGAAGCGUGAAACAGUAUUUGGAUUGAAAACUGUUGGAAUGAAAAUUAGUUUUGUAAAACAAGUCGAACCUAAUAAUACACACACACUCCAAACAUGGAAUUGGGAUUAAAUUACAUUACUAACUCAUUCUAUUACGGACCACCAAAGACCCUCUAUAAAAGGGAAGGAGGUCUUCCAUUUCAUCAUGAACAACUCACCCUUCACCAGAGAAAUAAAAUUGUGCUAUAAGGAGGCAUCACUAUCACUAAGAUAGUAUCCAAGCACAACAUUGCUGAUCCUUUAUAAAGAUUCUCAUAGUUAAAGUAUUUGACAGUUAUUUAUAGAAUCCAGACCUAAAAGAUAUGCAUCAUAGACUGAAGUACAAAAUAAUUAAUUUAUCUUUAAAAAUUCGUUAAACAUUAGAGAGAAUAAUAUUUGAGAAGAUGAUCAUAAGUAACUAACACGAUUUUGAUCUAUUUGGAUCAUAUAUUUUAUUUUUCAAAAUAAAAAAAAAAGAUAGUAAACUCACUUUCUAUAGAAAAAAAAUCUUUUUUCUUUCAAUUUGUAAUCAGAACACAAUAAUAUAUAUAAUAUAACAACAAAUAAAAUAAAAAAAAUAAAAAAACAAACGAAAAAGAAAAUCCAAUUGAAAGGCAAGAAAAUGCCAAAGAUAAGAUAUGUUGAUUCAAAAAUCAAAGUGGUCGUGGUUGGGCUUUGGAGAAGUAAGCAACGCCGUAUAGAGGCGGAGGCGAUCCUCCCCCAAGGAAGAGCACCGUGAGAGUGGGCGGCGGGGCCGAAUAAAGGACAAGGACGUGAGUGUGAGACGAUGGCGAUAUCGGCGCCAGGCUAGCUGGAUGGCAACAGCAGCCCAAGUGCGCCAGCCUGGGGAGUAGUAGCGGGCACUGCGCUUGACCUUGUCAUUGACAAAGGUGUAGCGGAAGUGCUGGGUUACAUACUUGACAUCCUCGGCCUCCAAGCUGAAGGCUUCAGUGGUCUCCAGUGUCACGAGAGUAAAGGAGGAGGGUGGAAGGCGCUCUAUGAAAGGGCGGCGGAGGCACCAGGAUAGAAGCUCGUCGCCGCUGAAGUUGCCGGGGCCCAACAUGCAGCAGCUUUUUACGCCGUCGCGUAGGACUUGGCUGCUUUGGAGAUGCCCUCGCACUACGAAUAGCAUUCUUUGUACUGGAUCUCCUUCUCUUGUUAUCUAAACAUCCACAUUACACAAUUUUCAACUAACAUUAACAACACUCUCAUUUUUUAAUCAACUUCCCUUUAAAUUCUUAACAAAUUUUUUUUUUAAAAAAAACUACCCUUUUGAAUUUUGGAUUUUUAGAAACACUUUUAGAAGUGAAUAAUAAAACCAAAAAAAAGAAGAAAAAUUAGGGUUUCAGUUGAAACUCACGGUUUCGCCCUUAGUGAAGAUGAGGGACUUGACACGAUCACAAAUGUUCUCAAGAACAAGAUCAUCCAUAUGUUGAAACAAUGGCACCUGCCUGACUAGAUCCAAGCAAAGGUGAUACUUUAUGUCUCGUCUAAGCCCUUCCGGUAGGUUUUUUAUCAUCUCGCACUCGUCCACACCCCGCAUCGCCGCCCACCGUUGGCGUUCAUAGUUCCGAACACGCUGCCGAAACCCUUGUGGCAGCCUUCGCUUCCUCAUCCACCACUCUAGGUUCCUCAUCUUCAGCUGCAUUCCUUGUUUUUUUGACGUUGUUGCAUGUAGAAACACCUUCGUAAACACAUAAAUACUACCAAAUUGGCUUCAUUUUCAUUGGGUUUUUUUCUUUUUAAAUUCAACAGAAACUAAGAACCAGCUGACUUCUAAAACACAAAAAAUUAAAAAUUAAAAGUAACAAAAGAUUUAUUUCCAAUUGUUAAAACUGAACCUGAAUAUUAAAAGCUAAAACAUUUAAUUACAAAAAAAGAAAAGACAAAAAAGGGUACCUUGAUAUUUCCAAUCAACAUGGUGACCAAUAAGAGUCCACUGGUGAGAACAAUGAUAUUGAACACUACUUCCAGCCAUUCAGUUGUGCUUUCCAAAUUCCCAAAGGUACUGUCUCCUCACACACAUCCAAUUCCACAAAAUUAAAAUAUAAAAUUAUAUAAACCCCAUUGUUUAAAAUAAAAUUAAACGUUUGUUUUUAAAUGUCAGAUAUUUUAAAAUAAAUUUUCUUCUGUAUAAGCUUAUGUAAUCGAAGUUGAUGCAUGAAGAUAAAUAUGCAAUAUAUAUCUAAAAGAAAAUGGAAACGGCGGAAUUAGAUACCUAAGAGUCAUGAGGCCCCAAAAGAUGGGGAAAAGGAUUUUCUCCAACCGACUUUGAUUGACAACAAGUUGAACAGUCCAUUUAUAAGCUCCAUAAUCAAAGUUAUCAGCAGUAUCUAAACACAUGAAUUUUGAUAGCCUAUUGUUUGCCCAAUCAAACCUUCCUCCAUCUCUUCCCAUUCUCAUAUUGUUUGGUCCAUAGAAGAUUGGGUCUUUGCAUGAUAACAACCUCAGCCCACAGCUGUUGGUUGUUGCUGAUCUACAUUGCUCUUUUAGACAUUUUGCUGCUCUUUGUACCCCUAAUAGAUACCAACAUGCACCUGCAGCCUUCAUUCGUGUAUAUACAUUAUAUACACUUUUCCAAAGCUAUUGUGUUGCUUUUGCAAAUGAAAAUUUCAUAUUUUGAUUCCAAAACACACACGUGCUUAUGGUUUUGCAGGAAAAUAAGCAACAGAAAUAACAGGGAAAUUUAAAGAUAGACAAUAAAACUAAAAACAUAAGAAUUAAUAAUCAAUGUGAGAAAAAACUCCAAACUUGAGAAAGAAUUAUGUGUUAGAAAAUUUCUGCUAGGGUAAAAGAUUAUUACAAUAUUUUUCCUAAUCUCAGAUUGAAACAAGAAAACUUUCUUAAAGCAUUUUUAUAACUUCGCCAUCUCACGUUUUUUCAGUUUUUAAAGUAGAGAAUAUAAAAAGAAAAUUUAAUUAAAGUUAACACAGUCAAGCUUUAAAGAGUUUAUUCUAAUUGGAACAAUUUGAAAUAAAAAACAUAACGUUAGAUAAGUACUGCACUUCUAAUAUUUUGCUAAAUCUUUUAAAUUUAAUGUAAUUAAAAUCAGCAUCCUAGAAUCAUGAAACUAGCUUAAAUAGGGAUGGUUCGUGUUGGAAAGAAACUUUUUGCUCAAGCUACUUGUAUUGUUGUUGAUCACUUCAAUCUAAUCUAGUUCUUUAAUUUUGUGAUGUUGAUUCAAAUCUCAAACUAACACUCAUAUUUAUACACAAAUGAUAGCCCUAUACACAAUAUCUAGUAGUUAUAAAUGACUUUCUAAAAUAUUCUUUACACAAUUACGUUUGUGGUAUCGUAUUACAAAUAGGGAAAUCUUUUUAGAAAGUUGUAAGAGAUAGUAGUGUUGUUAGGUUGAAAUGGAAGUUCAGAUACAAUUAAUUGUAGGGAAUAAAGAAAAAAGAAGGGUGGGGGUUGGGGAUGAAGUUGAACUAGAAGCAAAACUUACAUGGGCAGCAACAAAGUAAGCAAUGAGAUUGAGAGCAAUGCCCCACCAAACAGUGCCAAAGAUGUAACCAGAAAGGUUUUGGAGACGUCGUAGUAAGCAAACAGAAUGGUACAAUUUUGGUAAAUAUUGAAACAAAAAAACUAUCAAUAAGACUGUCAUCACCGAUGUCACUAAUCCUUCUUUCAUUAUUCUAGGAAUUACUAUCCAUAAUACAACCUGCAAACAACAUCCAAAUCAUUUCAAUAAAACAUCAGAUUUUGAAGAAUAAUUGUUUUCUUAUUAUAUUUUCAAAAUUAACACUUUUCCAAGUUAGGAUUAUAACAGUUUUUUUAUUUCCUCACAUAUUUAACAGUAUGGGAAUCACAUAGAAAACGAAAAUAGAUCGAAUCCCAAUAUAUUCCCGAAUCAAAAUCAAAAUCAGAAUCAGAAUGAGGAACUAAAAAGAAAUAAAAAACAAGAGAUGUUGAGAAAUUAGAAAACGGAAAGGGGGAAUUCAUAAUUGUCCUCCUACGCUACACAAAAAGACAUCCAAAUUUCACAUGUUCUUCUGCCAAACACUCAACAGUUUCCCAAACAUCACAUUCUAUUAUUGAUUCGUUUACUCCCCUAAAAUAAAAUUUUAAACUUUUUUUUUUUUUGUUCCAAUAAUGUAUUUCAUAAUUAUAUGACACUUUAUGUUAAAUCACAAUUAUAUUUAGAAAAAAAAUUAUAUUGUAUAAUUUUGAAAAUUUUGUUUUCAUUCUUUUUAUUUUUUCAGAAUUAUUUGUUGGGUUUAGUUAUUAGAAGUUUAAUCUUUUUUGAAGAAAUAAAAAACGAGGAAAGAUGUGUGAAGAACAUUUUCUGACAAAGGAGGGCAUAGAUAUUAUUCAUAAUUGUUCCAUUAUUCUUUAUUUUUAGCCAUUUCAAUUUUUUCUAAAAAUUUAACUGUUUUUUGUUUUCUCUUUUUUUUUUUAACUAAUUGUUUUCAAUUUUUUACAUGAAAGUUUUGGAAAUUUAAUAAAUUUUCAAAUUUUUUUCAAGGAUGAUAAAAUUCAUGUUAAGGUAACUAUGGGAAGUAAAAACAAAUUUCAAUAGAAAAGUACAUGGGUGCUUUUCUCUUGUAUGAUUUUGGUUGGGACAUUUUUUAAAAUAACAAAAUUAAUUAAAAUAUUUACAAAUUAUAGCAAAAUUUUAAAUUUGAUCAAUAACAAAUUGAUAAUGUCUAUCAAUGUCACUUAUUGAAGGAUAUAAGGGUCUACCAAUGUCUAUUAAUGAAAGAAUAUGAAAUUCUACUAUAUGUUAGUAAAUAUUUUAUCAAAUUCACUAUUUUUCACAAUUUCUCGUUUUACUAAAUUGUUCCGAUGGCAAAUUCAUCUUACUUUUUUCAAAAUAUUUUAAUUUUUUUAAUACAUGUCAUAAGCUUGAAAUGUAUAAAGAUGAAUGUACUCAAUAUGCAUCUUCUAAGUAUUGCUUAAAAUAGAUAUUGAUCCAUGCUUUUGGACAUGUAAUUUUUUUACCAAAGAAUUGAAGUAGAAGUUGGAGAUGGAGAUUUCCAUCUUCUAUGUAGAUCAAAGACUAAAAAAACACUAAUUAUAUGACUUAUUAACUUUCUAAUUAAAUAAUUUCACUGGUUACUCCAAAACUCCCUUUCCCUCUAUAUGUUAGUAUAAGAACUAAAAGGAUACAAAUCCAACUAACAGAUUUGAAAAUAUUUGUUGGGUUAGGGGGAGUGUUAAAGAAAAAACGCAUUAAUUUUGAUUUAUAAAAACUAAACAACUCUACUGUUUCAGUUUGUGAAUGGAUCGAGUUAUUAAAAUAGAAAUUUUAUAGAAUGAAAAGAAGAAUAUAUAUAAUAUGCAUAAUUUCAUGCAUGUGGGUAUUGGGUUUAGGUAAAAACAAUAUACCUGAGGAAAAGGAAGAAUGACAAAGAGAUCAAAAAAGAAGCCUUUCUUGGACUUCAAAUACCGGAGAGCGACGGCGCGUGGGCUACUAUCGCAAAGCCGUCUAUUUUCACCCCUCCCAUCACCCUCCCCGCUACCAGCAAAGGAUGACUUUGUAGCAGUCUUGAGCUGAAGCCACAUAUUCCAAAGGUGCAAAGCAUCGCCCAUGCAGCGGAGGACGGUCACGGUGAUGGCCAACCACCCGUCAAUAAAAACGCACAUCCACGACUCGCUUAUGGAUAGCGUGUAGAGAAACAAAGGGUCGACGAACAGGCCCGCUGCACAGACGAGGAGGAAGACCCAAUUCCAUUCUCGAACCCAUUUGGAUGUUGGGUCGAGAACUGAAGCAACUCCGUAUAAGCUCUGACAAAACGCAGCGUUGGAGUGUUCUUCUUCUUCUGAUUCUUGGUGGUCUAGCUCUUCGUCAUCGGAUGUUAGGGAGGUGGUGGCCAUGGAUGAAGGGAGAGUUAUGGAGGAGGGUAGUGAGGUGUUAUAUUGUUGUUUUGUUGGAUGUGAGAAUGUGAGUUUUGGAGUGUUAAAGAUAGAAGUGACAAAAAAGGAAUUAUUAAGAGAGGUGGAGGAUUGAGGAAUAAUAUAAAUGCAAAAGGGGAACCCCAACCCCAACAGAGAUUUCAUCAAUAACGACAAUAUUAGUUCUUAAUUUACAAAUUUAUCCUUCUCUAUUUCACAACCUCCAAAAACACCUUCCCCAUCUUUUGUUUGAUUUAUAGAACGGGUGCAAGUCGGUUCAGUUUUCUUAAUAUAUUUGGCUACAACUACUAACAUUCCAAUCAAUACGUUUCCUUUUUGUUAAUAACACUUUUAACCUUUCCUCUAAUUCAAUUCUGAUUUUAUUCUUCUUUUCUUUUCUCUAAAUCUGAACGUGGGGAGAAAUUGUCCUUCUUUAUUACCCUUUAUUAGCGCCCUAAACCAACUCCAACAUUAUGGCUAUCAAAGUUUUUAACUAAAAAUAUGAUUCCAAAUGAAUUCAUCUUAGCUUUUAAAAUCACUCUUUACUGUCAUCACAACAACCAACUUUAUUGAAAUCUCUAAAAUCUCCAAACUUCCAAGAAAGAGCAUGGAAUUAAAGAAAAAUUCUUUAAAUCACACCCCUACCAACCCUACUUAAUUUAUUAUUAAAAUCACUGACCAUUUAGCAUCUAAGUGUAUUAGUAACCACCCACUCUAUUGUUGAAAUGCCCUUUCCUCAAUUGUGAUACUAAAAGGAAGUUCAAUGAAUGACCUAUACUAAAACAACACUUAAUUAGAAUCUAUACUAAAAAUAAGGUCAAUGAUUUGAUUUUCAUAAUGGAACUAAUAAUAAUAAUAAAAGAUAAAAAGUGAGUAAAUUGCCUAUAGUAAAAAAAAUUUAAGUGGAGAAUUGUUGAAUGGAAAAUUCUUUACCUAAUAAGACCAAACAGUGUGAUAUAACUAUGUUUUAAACGCCAAUUCUUUAUGGGAUGCGAGAAGACUAAGCUAUGUUUCAAAUUCGAUGCGAAUGAAAACUUGAUAGUCUUUCAUGUUUUAGCAAGUUUUCAACUAUGUAAUAUUGAUCAUGACUAUGCGAUAACAUGAGCUACGCGAAAGGUUAGAACAUCGUCUCAUCGUAUAUAUUGACAUUCUAGGAGAGAUGGUCGAGCAUGAUGAGAUAUAUUGAUGUCAUGAUCUUUAUUACAUAUUUAAAAGAGUCAAACGUUUUAUUAUCGUUUUGUAUUUAAUAAGUCAACCUAAUCUCUCCAUAAAUAAAAUUGUUACAAAAUUAAUUUUCCAAAAAUUAAUUUCCAACCGUCUAUUGAUAAUUCUCUCACACUAUAUAUACACUUUUUUCAUUCUUUCAUUAUAUAUACGCGACAAAUUUUCAUAAGCUAGAAAAAAUUUCUUUCAAACUUCUUCUUUGAGUUUAUCAAGCAAUUUUGAGCGUUUAUCUGAGUGCUGAGAUUCCGAUUGAUUUAUAUGCAAAAUCAAUUGAAAAACAAAGGUUUUUUUAUCUUGGGGAUGACGAUGCAAUAACUUUAUUUGCACAAAGAAGCAGAGCCGCAAAACGACUUAAAGAGAGUGUGAUCCGCGAUUCAACCAUUUAUUAACUAUUUGUUGUUUUUCUAGCUUUGCGUUCUGACCACUAAACGUUUUAUCUACUUGACGAGAUAAACAGUAAACUUUGAGUGAGACACAAGCCAAGUGCAAGGACAAUUAUAUUUUAUACUACACGAACAAGAAAUGGAUGAGUAGUACAAAAAAGAAUGCCCCACAUUAAUUAAUACAAGAGAAAUUCUGUAGAAGAAAAUUUGAAAGGUUUAAUAAUAACUUUUUUACAACACUUUAAAAGUUUAUUUUAGAAACCUUUUAGGACAAAGAGUUGAAAUAAAAUAGAAUUUGUAAAAAACCUUUUUCUUUCAAUCUAAAGAAACACCGUAAAUCAAUGAUCAAUUAAACUAUAUAUUUGGAUUGUGAAUAUUGUUUUUUAGAAAAAGAAAAUCAAAAUUGAUACACAUAAUUCCUUCUACUUUUUGUUUUGAAGAAUUUUUAAUCCACAAAAUAAUAAAACAUUUUAAGGCCUAUUGAUCAAAUUCAGUAGUAGAAUAAAUCAAUAAAACAAAGGUCCUAAUGAUAUCAUCGGCAAUGCAAUUAAGUGCGGAAUAAUAUGUGAUGAGAUGAGAUGGGGGAUGGGAAGCAUAGGAAGCAUAGGAAGCAUAGGAAGGAAUAAAAGGAUAUUCUCCUCUUCUUCUUCUUUUUUUUUUUUUUUUUCUUAAUUCAAGAUAGUAAUAUUACAAAAGAAAAUAAAAAUGAAUAAAUAAAUUCUUUUUUUAAAAAAAGAAAAAACAGGUUGUGGCAACGUGAUAAAUUAAGAUUAUUAGUUUAAGUAUUUGAAUUUUGAAUAAAGAUGAGUGUGGACAAACAACACCUAACUGUUUCUGAAGGUACUCAAAAUUAUACUCUCUAAUUUGUCUUUUUUCAUCUCAAUAAUUGAAAAUAAACAACAAAAUUUGAUACAUUAUUUUCCCUAAAAAUCUUAUAUUAUUUUAAUUAUAUAACAAUUCCCUACCUUUUAUCUCUUCUUCACCACCACAAUACUGUUUGGAGACAAAAAAAAGUACAAUAAAAUCAUCCAAAAGGACUCCCCAUCUUCUCAACAAAUUUAAAAGAAAAACAAAAUAGAUCAAGAAUUAAUGAUAUAAUUUUCUAUUUGAUUUAAUUCUCAACUUUUAAAUGUUACAAAUGAGAUGAGAAGAUUUAAACAAACAUUGUCAAUAGUAAUCCAUUUUUAAAAUCCUAUCUUAUUAAACUCAACUUAUAAAUGCAUUCCUACUGCAUAAAACAAUGAACGAGUUUAUAUUAAAUAAUAAAAUAAGUUAUUUUAUUUACAAAAUAUAGGGAUGAACGUUGAAAUUUUGAGUGAGAAUAAAAUUUUUAACAUUUAUUAUUUAUUGUUUGUAAAAAAAACAUGGCAAGUAAAUUCAAAUGGAUUUGAAUAAUGGAAUAAUCCAUAUGACUUUAUUAAGAAGUUUACAAAAAAGAAAAAAGAAGAUGAAGGGCAAUAUAAUUCAAUAUUAUGAGGGGGAGAGGGGUGGGGGGGAGAAAGGGAUAAGUAAGGUAGGGGGAAAGUGACAGAUGUUAUUGGCUUUGGCUCAUUUUGUGUUACAAGUUAAACAACACAGGUUCUUUGAAGUUUCCUUCUUUUGUUUUCAUUGAUCACAACAAUGUAUAUCAUAAUGCAUCAAAACCCCAUUUGUUUCAUACUCAUCUAUUCCCAAACCAAAAUACUCCACAUUCUUCCUCUUCCUUCUCUUUCUAUACAAACACUAUUAUAAAUGGUCAUCACAAUGCCUACUUCUCACUUCCGUUACCACUUUGAUGAUACAUGGCCAUAUAACUCAAUAAAACAUGGAGUUCAUCAAAUACUAUUUUAGUCUUUGAUGUACUUUAAUACUUUCCAUUGUCUAAUUGUUCUUUAAAAAAAUGUUAUCUAUUAAUUACCAUAUCUCUGUGUAUUUUCAUUCCUAACAUUUAAUUUGUUUUCUAUUGUAUCUUGCAUUUACUCAACAUUAAGGCUCAUCUUAACACAUUAUGAGUGGCUAAGGUAAGUUUUCUAACUCAGGAUAGGAUUGAAAUUAAACCUAUAUUGUAUAUUUGGCUUGAGACUUGGUUUUUAGUUUUCAUUAUUAGUGAGUACUUGUUGAUUUUGUACUGUUCUUGAAUGAAUAUAUACUUCAAUUUCAUGCUUUGAAUUGAUUUUGUACUGUUCUUGAAUGAAUAUAUACUUCAAUUUCAUGCUUUGAAUUAAUGAGUUAUUUGCUCAUCUCUCAUUGAUUCAUUGGAUGCUAGUGUGGAACCUCUUCGUAUCUCAUUAAUCCAAGGGCAUCAUGUUAAAACUCACUUGGGUGUGGAUUUUAGGUUAUUGUUUACAAUAACUCUUUCACAAGCAUUAUUGCAUUGAUUUAUUGAUUUGAAGAACAAGUUGAUAGUAACUCAGUUUUCCAGGUUAUUAAUCAACUUAGCUUGACUAACUUGCUCAAUGCGGUAGUUCAAUUAAUAUUAUUUGAACCCAAUUUGUUGAGCAUCUAGAAUGUAUAAGAAAUUUCUUCAAAAAAAAAAAAAAAAGAAGAAGAAGAAGAAGAAAAGGUUGUUUAAGAAAUUAACCAACGCAUUUGAAGAUGUAUAUUGAGUUUUCUUGAGUAUAUUGGUUAAGAAUUAGAUCGGCAAACAUUGCACAUUUUUAGAAGUUCUAUGAUCAACCAAGCAAAUGGCAAAUGGGUGGAUUCUGUAUCUGUAUCCCUAGGCUACAUCUUCUACAACUUUUACUUUAUCAAAAAUAUGAACAAACAGAAACAGAUCAUACACUUCCUAAUUUUUCUCUCAUACAUCUAACAAUCAUACAAAUGUUAACCACAUUAUUACGGUAGUCACUUUCAGUAUAAGCCUCUUAAUAAACAAAAAAUUAGAUUAGAUCUCGUUUAGAUUUUCAUUGUGACUUGACCCUGCUUGAUAGGAAAAAAAAAAUUGAAAGAGGGACCCCAAGUUUCUAGAACAAUGAAUGACUCAAUGUGGUCGGUCCCAUAGAGAAAGAUAUCAGCAUCUCUUGUUUAAUUCAUAGUUCGGUAUGAUCCUUUAUCUGAUAUCAUCAACAACCUCAUCAUCCACUACAUGUGUAAUUUGGUUUUGGUUGGUCCUAAAUUGUUAAUCCUAUACCAAUUUUUAAGGAUGCUAGAGAUCAACAGAAGUAAGAAGGGAAUAACAUUUUGCCAAAUUCGUUCAUAUCCCUCUAUUAUUGAUCUUCCUUUUAGUGUCUGGUAAAGUAGGAAAAAGGUAUAACAUUUCUGCACAAAGAACAUACAUUUACCUUUUGUAUGUGUAGAGAGAAGUUACACAAUAUAUAUUUACAGACUCCAUCAGCUCACUCAACGGAAGUACACCCUUUUGCUUCCAUUUUCCAGAAUCUUUCCUUCACUUGGAUGACAUAUUUUAGCCUGUUGCUGUGAAAAGAAUAAAAGGGUUAAUCAAAUGGAGAUGAUAAUAAAAUUGAUCCAAAUUGAUCUACUUAUUAAUAUCUAAAAGACACCGAUACAGUUACGAGACAUGGAUAUGACACAGACAUUGCGACAUGGCAUAUUUAAAAAUAUAGGACAUGAGACAAGGAAAAGACACAUUUAUUAAAAUUUACAUUUUAAAAAAUAAUCAGAAAAAAAAUACAUCACUUUUAUACUAAAAAAAUGAAAGUAAAUGAGUUGAUAGAUUUAUACGUUUAGAAAAACUUAGUUUGGUGUAUUUCACAUUCUAAAGUUAUUAUUAUAUUAUAUGUUUGUUUAGUCUACACAACAAGAUUUUUAUGUUUGUUUAGUCUACACAACAAGAUUUUUAUGCAUGUCUAAUAUAUUUGUUGCAGUAACAAGUAUCCUACACAUGUUGGACAUUAACAUGCUAGCAAAACUAAAAUGAUUGUGCUAUUUGAAUAGCACUAAAUUAUCCAAAUUGUUGUCUUAAUGAAAGAGAUGUUGUGAUUGGGAUUAAUUCAAUCCAUCUUAUGAACAAGUGCAAUCUUUCCAUUUGAUACAGCAAUUGACAAUAACAGAAAAUGCCCUUAUAAUCAAAUUACUACUUAUUCCAGAAAAAGUCAUGCAAGUAUGGAUUUCAAUAUCUGAAAAUAGUUGAAACCUACUAUCUUUUUUACCUUCAAGCUAAACACACUUCGUCCGCCAAGUCUUAGUGGUACGUUAUGUUGUGUCUUUUUCUGAUCCUUGACCAUACUAAAAGUUGAAGGAAUGACUCUACCUUUGCAUUUCUGACUCACAGCAAUUCUCCCCACUGCAUUCUCCUUUCCGGCUUCUACUGUUUUGCAUCUUCCUGUUCUUUCUAGACCUUCCUUUUUCUUCAGAUUUAAGCAACUGUUUUGAUUGUCUCUUUGCAGUAGUAGAGAAGCUUUAGGACGAAGUAUCUGGUUGAAUAACAAACAAGAUUAAGUACAUUUCCCUGACAUUAAGUUUGCACACUGACAAAUUAAAAUUUUCAAUACCAUUUCUCUGACACAAAAUUGAUUGCAAGAAAACCUUGCGUUUGAUUAGGAGUUACCAAAUUGAGUUGAUAAAAUUAGUUUUACAAUAUAGAUAUCUCAAUCUUAAAUUCUAACAGCUUCUCACCUUUGGUUUUGAAGCCUCAGGAUUAGCAUUAUUUAGUUUACCAACCACCCUCCUUGAGUUAGAACUCACACCCUCCAGUUGGACUUUUAAUGUGCUUGACAAAACACUCAAAACUUUGGACUUGUUCAUUGAUGCUUGAGUCAUUCUGGAUAAGCCUCCAACGCAUUGACUGUUUUUCAAGUGAUGUUCUGAUGUUUUGGUGAUGUUUUUAGAACCAAAACUAGGAUUUAGAGAGGAGGAUAUGCUAGAGUUACGGCCACUUGACUGUCUUCGACAGUUAUUAACUUCCAAUCUAGAUGCUUGUCUGGUGGCACAGCUUUUCCUAAGACUUCUCCUCAUAUCUAACAAAAGUUUACUAGAACUGCUCAAUGAUUGACUUGUUACCUCCGUUGGCUUAUGUUGUUGUUGGUGGCCGAUACCGGAUACGAUUGUGCUGCUCGUUCUGCUGUCAACUGACUCCUUUCCCUCUGAACUGGAACCAAUAACUGAAACAUUUGCAACUACGUUUUCAAUAAAACCGCUUGCAUAAGGAACCAAACUUGACUUUGAACUCGAGAUUCCUUUUGAGUUUGUAAAGCUUGAUUUAGAGUUCAAUUUAGUGGUUGAUCCUGAAAUUAGCUUCUCACCUACAACUUCCUUAUUCAUUGCAAAACCUCGACAGUUGCCUUUGCACUUCCUUCCGUCAAAGUCUUUCCCUCUUGAUCUUGAGACAGAGUCAGGAAGGGUUGGAGAAGAAGACGCUUUUAUUAAUUCAAAAUCCAAAGUCUUUUUCUCAUCAUAAAGCUGAGCAAAUACUAAUUUCAGGUCAUGAGACGAACUUUGGUGGACCCUGAUACGUGUAUAUGUAAUUUUAAGAAAAACACAAGGAACAAAAUCAUGAAUUUAUGUAUUUAACAUCAAGUCUAUAAACAGAGAAGCUAAAUGGGUGCUUACUGAUGGUGUGUAUAGAACCAUUUAUCAUCACUGCAUUCAAAGUAAACGCAUACGAGGAAUUAGUACAAUGAAUUAUUAAAAAGAAAAUAUACCAAUCUGUAUGUACCUUUGACCAAUUUAUCAGCACUUACAUGUUCUGGUUGUAGGACUUCCCUUCUAAGGAGAGAUCAACCCACAUGGGUGCUUCAAUUUCUUCCUGACUCAAUCAGAAAUUACACACCAAAAAAAGCCUCAUUGUAUAAGGCUUCUGUUUAAUGGCAUCAAUUUUGAAAAAUAAGGAAGAAACUCUUCCUUAGUUUUAUAAUCUAAUAGCAAGAUAAGUGUUCAAAACAUAGAUAAAUUUUAAAAUCUAAAACAAACAAUUUAUCCUUUUCAAAAAGUAGCUAAGAUUCCAAAAGUACGUCAAAAGAAAAGUGAAAAACCAAAACGAACACAAAUAAACAUUAAACAUCAGUCAUGAACGUCAUCUCUUUUUCUAAACAUAUUGAUUCUCAAUCUGAGAUUCUGAAUCAUUAAAAUGAAGCAAUAUCCAGGAAAAUGAUGCAUUACCUUCUCCCUCGAUUUUCAAGCACAAUUUAAAAGGUAGAGAAACAUGAUAUGGAUGCAUGAGAAUAUUUGAGGAACAGAAAAUUAAUCACAUGAUAUAUAUUAACCAUUUACUCAAGGAACUAGAGGUCAACAUUAAAACCUAGAAAUCAAACAUUGAAAAAUCAAUGAAUCCGAUCUCCACAAGAAAACGAAAACAAAAUAAUAGAAACAAAGAACAAGAAAUAACAUUUAAAAAUUAAACCAAAAGGUGAAAAAGAGAAUAAUCAAUGAUGAAGCGCCAAACCAAACAAAAAUCCCAUUUCAUCUAAAAUAAAUAAAUAAAAUAAAAACAUCAAAGAAAGUGAUGAGAAUAAGAAAUGAAAUCACAAGAAGAAGAAGAAGAGAAGAGAUACCAGGAAAGCCCAAUAAUGAUUGGAGUUGAGAUGCACCAUUUUUGGAGGCAUAAAAUGUUGUGGAAAUGAAGAAAGUGGGAAGGCAAAAGCGAUGGUGUUGGAGGUUUUUGAAAGCUUCAAAAUACCUCCAUUUUCAGGGCGUCCUGGAUUUGGUUGAUUGAAUAAAUAGUUGGGUUGAUGAAAACAUAUGUUCGUUAUAUUAUUAUUAACCAAGAGCGGGGAAUGGACGGUGUAGAUCUUUCAAUUAACUACGCACUCUCUCUCUCUAUAUAUAAAUAACUUUUUUGACCGUUGCAUUUUUCAAACUGUUUCAGCACACAAAAUUACGCUAUUGCCAUCUUUCAUGCCUUUUCCUUAAUAAUAUUUAAUAAUCUUUCAUUUUGAUCAAGCUUAUAAAUAUUAUUAUUCAUAUUCUAUAUUUGAAAAUGUUCCACGUUAAUUUUUACGAAAAAUAUUAAUUUACACGUUUAAUUAUAGAAGUUAUAUCGAUUUGAACUUUAAACUAACUAGCAUAUUACCAUGUGCAUUUGCACGUGUAUUUUUGUAUACAUUUAGUUUUGAUUCUUGUUUAAUAUUACUAUAUAAGUUUUAUGUGCUUUUGUAGUUUUUUCUAUACAUUUCACAUGUUCUUUUGCACAUAUUGAAGAAGAAAAGAAGAUUGUUGUUAAUUAUAGCCUGUGUGCGUGAUAAUAUUGCAGAUUAAGGAAACCACCGUUUAGCGUGCAAUAAGCUAUAUAACGUGGUGAGAUUUAGAGUAUGAGAUGCAAACAAUGAGACUAUGAGUAUUACAAGAUUUUCUAUUCGAUUUCAAGUAUAAACUUAAAAUAGAUUUCUUGGUGAGUUGAACGCAACGAUUUUAGCAUUAUUUAUGAUUGAAUAAUGUUUAAGUUGAGCUUUUGACGAACAAUCAAAAUAACUUAUAUUUAGUGUUUUUGACAAAUAAAUUUUAUGAACAAUUAUUUAUACUAAUGAAUCUCCUACCUUAGUGACAUGAAUGAUCUUUUUCCAAGAUUAUGCCGUGAGAGUGUUGAGCAAUCAAGUGUAUAAUAAACAUAGAGUAAGGAAUUAUAUGCGAUGAAUAUGAUUGAGAAAUUAGUUUUUCAACGUUCCUUCCAAACCAAGCAUAAAUAACAUUAAAGUGUCCUACUAUUAAUUAAGACAAACUAUCUUUUGACAAUGAAAUACUUUGUUUCUAGAUGUAUAUGAUGUCGUUAUACACAACAAACUUACUCUUAUUUCUAAGAUUUACUUACAUAUUCACUUAACUAAAACUUAGCAACUUAUUCUUUCGAGUAGUUAGCUUGUUGUACUUGAACCAAACUUUCAAUUAACUUGAACUUCUUUUUUAACUUAAAAGAACUUAAGUUUACUCAUUAAAUUUAUACUUUUCUAGAAUGUUAGUUCAUCUCUUCUUAACCCAUUGCAAGAUUUAGCUACUCAUGACGAAGGAAAAGAAUAUAAUAGAUUAAAAGUGAUAGUGUGAAUGUUCAUAUUGAGGAAUAUAGAAGAUUUCUCACUCCUUAUUUCACUGUACAACACAAAAUUAAAUACAAAGUGAAAAAUCAAAUUGAUGUCAAGGAGCUGAUCACACUUUCUUACUCUCCUUGGCUCCAAUGGUGAAUGCAUGAUUGAAGAAUUUUAACAAAGGAUCCUAUUGUAUGAUCUUGAUAUAUUCUCCUGCUUCUUUUGGCUUCCAUGUGUCCAUGUAUGACCUUCACGAGUAUCCUUCAUUAAGCAUGUUUCCUUGGUUUAAGGGAGAAUAUUUGUAUUUGUCAAUGACAUAAUAGCUUUUGCUUUUCUCUUUCCUAUAAUUUUAAAAUUAAAUAAGAAAAAGGUAGCCUUGUUUCAACAACAGCGGGGAUAGCUCAGUUGGGAGAGCGUCAGACUGAAGAUCUGAAGGUCGCGUGUUCGAUCCACGCUCACCGCAUUCUUUUUCUUGUUUUUCUCAUUUAAUGAAUCACUCAUACGUCGUCGUUUCCAUUGUCAUAAUCCAUGAAGCGCUUUCAGCCCACAAUUACCACUUUCAAUAUCGGCCCAUUUUAAUUCUAUUCAAGUUUGAAGAAAAUCUAAUUAUACUCAGGAGAAAAUCUAAUUAAAUCGUUUUUUUUUCUUUUUUCGAUAACCAUUAGUUUUUGUGUUUAAGUUUGUGAAAAUUGUUUGUUUUAUUAUUGAUUCUAAAUUUUAUAAAUUUUUUUAAAAUAAAUAAAAGUUAUAUUCUAUUCUAUCUUGAUUGUAUGAGGAAAUGACGAGAAGUUAUUUAUGUUGAAGGAUGACAUGUCUUCUAAUUUUAUGACUGUCUUUGAUGAAGUUGCAAGAAUAUCUUCAAUAAUUUGGCUGACAACAUGACACCCAACAACUUCCGGUGCUUCCUUUCGUGUUCCGUAGAAAUUUCUCAAGAGAAACUCUACCAAGGUAGUAGUGUUAUUUGUUGGGGUUGAAGAAAGUUCUCAUCUUCUUCAUCAAUAAACUUAAACUUACAUGACUUUCUUCUUUCCUUUCUUUCUUUUUUUCUUGAGUCUUUCAUCCUCGUGUAAUUUUGAUGGAAUUUUAACUUCUUUGGGAUAGAACUUGAUUUUCUUCUCUUUUUUUUUGGUGAGUCACGGACGUCCACCCUUUAUCAUCAUCUUCAAUAUACUCAUUUUUAUACUUUGCGAGUCAUCCUUUGGAACUUUCUAUUGAAACUCAACAACUAUAGCGUGAAUAUCCCAAACUAGAUUAAACUUUUUCUUUUAAUCAUUGUUUAAUAAAAAAUUUUGAGACGAUUCACAAAUUGUCACGCCAUUUACUAAAUUAAAGAUGAAAAAUACAAAUAAUUGAAUUUGGGACUAAUUAAAAAAUGACAUGUAUCCCAAAUUAAAAUUAAAGACAUAUAUUGACAACUCUAAUGAUGCCACAUGUUUUCAUUAUGACCGUUGGAUUAAGUUAAUUAUUUGAGUUCAAUUAAAUAUUAUUUACUUGAGCUAAAAUUUAAUUGAGCCCAAAAUAAGCUUAAUUUAGUCCAAAGGUUAAAUAUGACACAAAUCCAUGUGGUUGAGUCAAUUGGUUUGAUCUAUGGAUCAACCAGCAUUACAAGAAAUAAGAUUUUUUCCUGACGUAGCAAUACAUCGUUGAAAACCCUAACUAACGUCGAGGAAGGUUACUGCAACAUCGCGGACCAUGUCGGUAGGCACGUCAAGGAAAGCACGUCGGGGACAUUUUUCUCAACAUGACUCACGUCAACGACGAGAAAAUUUUUUUCGCGCAUGCUGCAGCACGUUGCAGACGGCUUCUACAACUUGUGCGUCGCGGAAGGCUUUAAAUAUAUAUUUUGUUAUUUUUUUCAUUCAUUACAAAACAAUAUAUAUGAAAAGAGACCCACUAAAUUCUUCCAUUUAUUUAUGUCAUUGCUAGAUAUGGUUGAUGUUGCAAAUAAAUUAAUCUAUUUCCAAGUGAUUAAUUGUUUUUGGAGAAUGAAAUUUGACAAAAGAAGGAAUGAAGAUGAGUGAUUCAGAGAAGGAAGAGAGAGAGAGAUGGGCGAUUCGAAGAAGGAAAACAUGGAGAAAGUAGAGGGAAGGAGAGAGGGAGAGUGAGGAAUAGUGACAAAGGAGAAAGAGGGGACGAGAACACUUCCGACAGCGACGGCGAAGACGGACGACCGGCAACAUGGAUCUCCUCCUCUCCAUCUCUCUCAGACGAUUUUCUCUUCCUUUCGUUUCGCAAUCGGUUCUAUGUUGAAGGGGGAAGAAAUAGAGUAGUCUUUCUCCGACGUCGGACAAACUAACGUUGUGGAAAGAUUAAAUAAUGAAUUCAUUAUUUAAACAUUCUCCAACGUGCACCUAUUAAACGUCGCGGAAAGGUGACCAUUGUCACUUCAAUGCGUACACUUACAACUUUCAUUUUUUUCGAUGUGUGGCAGAUAGACGUCGGAAAAGUGAAGAUAUUAAAUUUAAUUUUAAACUUUCCGCAACGUCUAAUUCUUUUGUGUCGUGGAAAGUAAAAGUAUUAGAUUUAAUUUUGAACUUUCCGCGAUGUCGGGUUCUCGUGUGUUGAGUAAAUAUUGAUGUUUGACAAUUUUAAAAUGUAAUCAUAAUACAAAUUCUAAAUUGAUUUACUAAUAACGAUUUAAAAGUUUAAUAGAAAUGUGGCAUAAUAUUACCAAAUCAAAUUUGAUGAAGUGUGUGAACAGUUACAAAAAGUUUGGGGAUAUAAAAUGAAAAUUUCUAAAUAGAAAAAAAAAAAAUCAUCACUCAAACCUUAUGUGAAUUAAUUUUGACACACACACACAUAAAAAGUUGGUGUUAAAAGAAAAAUGAAGAUUGUGAAAAGAAAAGAAAAGUAGGGCAUAGAUAAAAUGUGGAUAGAAAGAGAUGAGUUGUAGAUGCAAAAAAAUCUUUAGAAACAAUAUGAUUGGCUAACUAAACCCUCUCACUACCCCACAAAAUUUCUCAAAAUCUUUCAUUCUUCACCACUCAUCUUCCUCAUUUCCUCAUAAUAUUCCCCCACUUUCCCCCUCUCUCACUCACACACGACUGCCCAUUCCUCCAUUCUUUCUCACAACUCAACCACAGACCUUCAACUACCCAUGGCCGCCACUGCCGCCACCGCCACCCUCCUCCGGGCCACCCCUUUUCUUGGCCAGGCCAGAGCCUCUCCUCAAAACCCCCUCAGAGAUGUCGUCGCCAUGGGAACUGGAAAAUACACCAUGGUCUUUACUCACUCACUUACUCUGUCUUUUUUUUUUUUUUUUUACAUAUAUAUAUCUCUCUCUGUUUUUGGGGUGUUCUUGAAGAUUGAUGGUUUUUGUUUUCCAAUUUUGGAUAGAGUAAUGAUUUGUGGUAUGGACCCGAUAGAGUUAAGUACUUGGGGCCGUUUUCAGCUCAGACUCCAUCGUACUUGAACGGUGAGUUCCCUGGUGAUUAUGGAUGGGACACUGCUGGCUUGUCCGCCGAUCCCGAGGCCUUCGCCAAGAACCGAGCUCUUGAGGUAGUUCAUUUUAGUUUAUCUACUCUCUUAUUGUUUUCUUUUGAUCUUUGUAUGUCCAACUGGGUAUUCUACUUCUAAAAAUGACUAUUUUGGUACUCAACAUAAAAUUUAGAGAACAGUUUUGCUUUAAUGAUUAAAAUUUGAGCAAUGAGUUAAGUUGUAGAUUCUAGAAUUAAUGUGUUGGGUUAGAAAGUUUCUGUUUGGGAUGCUGAGAUUAAGUACUUUGGUAAAUAAAAAUUAAAAAAAAAAAAAGAAAGGAAAUUCUUCCAUAAAUGUACAAAAUUUGCAAUGCUAGCUGCGUUAUUUAGUUGAUUGGACACCUCUGAUAACUUUAAAACUAAAUGACGAUCAAAUUUGCAGGUAAUCCACGGAAGGUGGGCAAUGUUGGGCGCUUUGGGUUGCAUAACACCCGAAGUCUUAGAAAAAUGGCUUAAAGUGGACUUCAAGGAGCCAGUAUGGUUCAAGGCAGGAUCCCAAAUCUUCACAGAAGGAGGUCUAGACUACUUAGGCAACCCGAACUUGGUCCACGCCCAAAGCAUUCUAGCCGUGUUGGGGUUCCAAGUGGUCCUCAUGGGUCUAGUAGAAGGGUUCCGCAUCAACGGCCUUGAUGGCGUCGGCGAGGGCAAUGACCUGUACCCAGGCGGUCAAUACUUUGACCCACUUGGACUGGCUGAUGACCCUGUCACCUUCGCUGAGCUGAAGGUGAAGGAGAUCAAGAAUGGGCGUCUUGCCAUGUUUUCCAUGUUUGGAUUCUUCGUUCAAGCCAUUGUGACCGGAAAGGGUCCUCUUGAGAACCUUCUUGACCACCUUGAUGACCCUGUGGCUAAUAAUGCUUGGGUUUAUGCCACCAAGUUUGCCCCUGGCUCAUAAGUAUUUCACAUUAAUUAUUGAAAUUGAACAAGCUAAGUUUGUUUGUUGUGUAAAUUGUUUGUAGUUCUCUGGGCGUUUUUUUUUGGUGUGGGUGGAUGUGAUUAUAAUUAGAUGGAUGAGUAUUAAGGUGGAUCAAUGGACAUUAAUUCUCACUUGAUCAAAUGACUUUAAUGUUCUUAAUCUUAGUUAUUACAUCAUUUAAUUAGAGGUAGUCUUGAUUGUAGUGAUUUGAUCAUUUAUUUUUUGGUAGUUACUUAGCAAGUAAAUAUAUAUGUUUUAAAAGAACCCAACGUGAUAAAAGAAAACAAAGAUGUUUUAAUGUCAAUUUAUAUGGGAACGGUAAAGGAGUCGAUAGAGAGAGAUGGAAAUAAUGCUUGUUGAUGUUUUUACUAAUUGCAUACAUUUCUACAAAGAGACAGCAAAUAAUGCUUGUUGAAACACAUUGGUAACUAAUUGCACACGAGAUUUUGGUUCCAUGUUAGGGAUUCUAUUUUAGGAUUUUAUUACACACCACUAACUUUUGAAUUUCAUCCUUGAUUUAGAGUAGGCUAAAUUAUAUAUAAAAAAUUUCAUCCUUGAUUUAGAAUAGGCUAAAUUAUAUAUAAAGAAUGCUAUUAAAUUUUACCGUUGCACUUGACACGUUUAUUUUACAUAUAUUGUAUAAGAUUCCAGACAGACAUUAAAUAUUUUUGUUUGUUUCAUAUUUCAAAACUGAAUGUUAUUUUCCACGAGAUAUUAAAACUCAUUCGACAAGGUUCACAUUUUUUAAUAUCCUCCAAACAUGUGAGGUUUUUAUACCUAAAAAAGGAAUGAAGUCUUGACUAAUUAAUAAUUAAUAUCAAUGAAUCAUACUUUUAUUAAUUUUAAUUAAUUAUUAAAUAUAAAUAUAUUAUUAGACUUAAUAAAUUUCAAGAUAUUUUAGUAAAUAGUAAAUCUAAAUAUUUUUGCAAAUGAGGGACUUAAAAAUAAUGUUUUAUAAUAGCUAAUUGGGAAUUUUUAAAUAGUAUAGCAUUUACUAUAACUCGAGGCAUUAUUAUUGUUUUUCAUAACGGUGAGUUCAAACGACCUAUGAAUACAUUCAAAUUUUAUAUAUCUAAAUUCAAAAUAUUUUUACUAAAAAAAAUUCAAAAAAAUUAAUACUAUGAAACAAUAAGACUCAAAAUUAGGAGUCAUUAGGAUAGAUUAAAAAGCUGAACCAACCUACUAAAAUUGCGGGCAUUUAUUUUUAAAAAGUUCAAACCAAUAUUUUAUUAGAAAGAAUUAAAGGCUUAAAUCCACUGACCAACCAUAGUCUAUUUGAUCGAAAAAUGGACUCCCACCCGAUCCGACCCGACCUCACCACUACCCAAUACCAUCUAACUUUCAUGGGCCAACAACACAGCCCAAAAACACAAUUCGUCGAUCGUCAUUCGACUACAGUUGGAAGCACAAACUUCUCGCUGUUUUCGUCUUUAGGGUUUUCGUUGUCAAUCACCGCAGCUCUUAUCUCUCAGCGAUGGCGAAGAACAGGAAUAAGAAGCGAAGUGGGGCUGUUUCAAUGGACGUAACGGAAAAUUCCGUUCAAGAGCUCCCUCAAGGUACACUUUAGUUAUUUCAAAGGGAAUUAUACAGAAUAGUAUCAGAUGGACGCAUGUUUGUACUUGACGUUCUUGUUCGUUGUUGCUCUUUCAGAUAUUACUAGGACUCUUCUUUGUUUAAUACUUGUUUUCUUUGAGUAGUUUUGAAGUUUAACUAACUUAUUUUCCGCUUGAAUCUAUAGCGAUGGACGUGUCUAUGUCUUCAGUUCAUAAACCAGCUUCUGGCGCUCUCGAUUUGUAAGCUUCUAUCUGCGAAUUUUGGUUUUUUUUGGGACAUGGUUUCACGCCAAUUCAUUCUGCAUUUUUUUUUUCGUUUUUUCAAUUCAUGUGAUUUUUUUUUAUCAUUGGCUCUGUUGAAUUUUUGUGUGUCGAGAGACUUGAGGAGCUGUUUCUCAUGAAGAAUCCUUAAUCCCAAUUUUUUUUUUUCAUUUUGGACCGGAUGAGGCUUCUAAGUUCGCUGACUAGAGAAAAUUGAGCAUGUAUUAAUGAUCUUACCACAGAAUUUGGUGAAUAACACCCAGAAAACUUUUAGUCUCAUUCUGCUAACUAUUCAUAUUUAGCCACAUUACUAUUGAUCUUAAUAUUUUAUUUAGUGGGUCACGUAUAACAUCAUAUGCUACAUCUUUAUAGGCACUUGAGGAGAAGUCAUUGCUUGUAAAUAUAUAAUAGAUAAAGAACUUAGAAGAUAUACUAAGUCUUUUGAGGUACUUCUACUUGGACCCUCGCACCCUCCCUCUUUAGAUACCAAUCUAAUCCUAAUUCACUUAGCAAAUGCCUACUUUCUCCUUUUCCACUCCCUCCAUUUAUAACCAAAUACCCUCAAAUCUUAACAACUUCCUUAACCAAUUGAUUAUUACUAAUAUAUCCCCUAAUGUCCCUAAUAACAUUCCUGUCAAUUUAAUUUCCCACAAAUGUGUGAAGCAUCUGAUUCAUGCACGCACCCCUCUGAUUCGUUUCUAGCCACUUGAACUUAUCAGCAAAGACGGCAAAUCAGUAAUUGAAGGAGUGCCAGAGCUUUCCUACCACCGUAGCCCUUGAUAUUUUAUCGUUCCUGCAUUAGUAGCAUGUAAAAUGAUACUAUUGGUUUCAAUUAUAUUGAAGGCACACGUAUAUUUAAAGUGGUAUGCUCUACAAUGUUCAACUUUUAAUGCCUUAAGGAUUAUGAUUGAAACCCACCCAUGUUUUCCAAACAGUACUAGAAUUUUAAGGGCACAUUAGUAAUUAGCUAGAGUGUUUUUAUACUUCUUGUUAAUAAAUAUACUUCUUUGGGUUUGAUUCUCUCUUAUCUAUAUCUUAUAGCGUGUUUGGAUUGUCUUUUUAAGUGUUUAUAAACAUUUUUUUUUAGACACUUGGAAACAAUCCAAACAUGCACUUAGUUUUAGCUGGUUUUCUCAAUUUGGUUGGUGUUGAAAAUUAAAGCUGCCAUUUUCCUUGAUCUUUACUCGUUGUUGUGACAGAAAGUUGAAAAAGGGAAGGCCAAUGAAGCGAACAAAGAAUGUUAGGAAGACAAAAGCCAUCGCGAAGGCCAUUUCUAAGAGCGAGCAAUCAAUGGAGAAAAUUUUGAAAAAUCAUAGCAAAACUACGAGAAUACAAUCUGCAAAAACAUUGUAUGAAUGAUAGCAUCAUUUUAUAGAAAAUUUCCCUUGAAAAUUGUAAAAUUUAUUUAUUUUUGUUCUGCUCAUAGGUUCUUAUUACACUCUCUACCCACUCACCAUUUAGUUUUCAAUUGUAUCAAUCUAAUCUGGCAUUUAUUUAUUUUAGAGAAUGGAUUGACAUUUUUGUCUAUGCUCACUAGCCACUAACAAAAUGCUAUAUUUGCCAAUUUGAUUGCCAUGGAUCAAUAUAUAUGGAGAUAUCAGACAUUAAUUUAUUAAAUUUUUUAUCAAAAACAAAAAAAAUAAUAAUAAAAUAGGAAUAUUCUAUGUAGCCUUGGGGAUGAUCUAUUUCUGGGUCACCUCAAUCAUCCUUGCGGAACUCAAAAACGUGUUAUUUUGCCAAUGCUGAGUGUAAUUCAACUUGCAAUUUGCAAAUAUACUAAAACAGAGUUAGUCUCAUUUUGCAAAUCUUAAAUUUAAGAUUUAGUUCUUAUGGUUAGUAUGAUGUUAUGUUAAUUUUUUUAUAUUUUUUUUAUCAAACUUCGUGUGUUUGUGUUUGUUAUCAAUCUACAGACUGGUUUCCACUUUUAGUUAGAGAAUUUGUUAUAAUCUCAUUCACAACGUAUACUUCAUAAUUGGAAUCUUCUUGUAUGUCUUGUUGAUGAUCUCCAUCAUUUAGAAUUGGUUGAUCAUCUUUCAACAAUGGGUAAUCUUUUUUAUUCUUGUAUAGAUUGUGUGAUUUGAUUCCUACUUCUCAACUCUUCAUUCAAUCGAGUUAUGCAAUUCUUUCAGCUGAGUUAUGUAAUUCAUGAAUUUACCUAACUCAACUGAAUUUUGUAUUCUUUAUAAAAACCAUGCAAAAGAUUUCAAUAUGGCCAAGAAUGUGAAAACCGACCAAAUCCUAAAGUUGAAAAUUAUUGAAAGAUGCAUUAGAUAACUCUUUUUCUUUUUAGAAAAAAUUUAAAACGUAUGACAAAAAUAAGAUAAAAUGUCACAAAAACAUAAUAAAUACACAUUUCUUUUCACAAAUAUUUUUUCUUUGAGCAAGCGCAAAAGUGUGAAGCAAGAAAAAAGGGAAGAUAAAAGAGUCAUGCGAACGAGAGAAUAUAUUAAAUUAUUUAAAGACAGAAGGAUGAUAUAGAAAGAAAAACAAAUAAAGAUAUAAUAUGUUUAAAUCCAAAAUUUAGAUAUCAAAUGAUAAAGAGAUACGAGAGGACUUUCCUUAUUUUAAGUGAACCCUUAUUACGAUAAUAAGAAUAAACCUAAAUUGAUGAGCAACCUUAAGAAAACUAAACAAACUUGAUUUAGGAGAUUGAUGAUAGAUCAAAAAAAAAAGAGAGAACUUGUUCCUAAUUUCAACCUUUCGAACUUUAUACAAUCUAACCGAUCAAACUAGAUUGAAAGUUCUACAUUAUAACACAAGAAUACAAAUACAACGUAUAAAAGAUUGAGAAAAUAAAACAUAUGAUAAAAGUUCAUUCAAAUUUCGAUUCUAUUUUUGAAACUUAAGUAAAUAAGUAUUUAUAGUAAUUGAAAAAGAGAAUUAUGAAAUGUUACAACCUUUUCAACUACACUCUCAUAAAUGUGUAGAUAUAGAAUUAAAUAAAUACAUAACAUUAAAUUCAUUUGUGAUGCUGAGUUUUAAGUAACAAUUGUCUGGUUGAAAAAUUAAGGAGAGGAAAAUAAAAAGACGCCGUCUGUGGGGAUCGAACCCACGACCACGUGGUUAAAAGCCACGCGCUCUACCACUGAGCUAAGACGGCCUUGUUGUUGUUAGACUCUAACAAAGUCGUAAUUUGAGUUUUUUCAUUUUCCUUCUUCUUUCUUUGUGUUUGUGGGCAGAAGGAAGGAAGAAAUCUGGGAUUGACAACUAACAACCAGAAAAAUAUCUCAUUCAACAUCCCACCACUCUCUCACUUCUCAACUAACUCUCCUCCCAACUCCACACUUUUUCCCUAAUUUCCCACAUGAGUUUCCUUGUGAGCAAUUCUGGUGCUUUCAUCAUCAAUUCCAUCCAAAUUUCAACCUCUAAACACCCUAACACCCCAGGUAUUACCUUUCAUUUCGCUCUAUAACUAUGGGGGAGUUGCGAAUAUUUAUAGUUUCAAACAAGUCACCCAAACACUAUUUGAAGAUGUACACAAUUUUUGGGUAUUCAAUGGUAUAUCCAAUGAGAAAAUUUAUGGUUUCAUGAACUCUAGGGCUUGUUUUCAUCAUUAUGUAUUCAACUCUCUUUUAUACACAGGCUCACUGGUUUCUUUAGGUAAACAUGUCAUGCCCAUGAAAUUUCUUGGGACACAAUCCGUAGCUGAUGAUCAAUGUAAACAUAUUGAGCUGGUGAAGAAUAGAAACAGCCGCAAUUAUUUUCAAGCUAUGGCUUUUGUAAAUGCCAUUUCUGGUAAGGCUUUCGCACGAACACUUUUUAAUUUCACAUGUUUUGAACACUUGUGUUAAUGCAAUAGAUGUGUUACACAUUCAUAGAACACUUGUUGAGAAGACCAAAGAGAUGCAUAUAUAUAAAGAUAAUAAUAGAUUUUUGUUACCAGUAGUAUCACCGUUAAUUAAAUUCUGUGAUUAUGGUUAUUAUUUGUAUGUCAAAUACAUCAAACUAAUUGUUUAACGGUAUAAAUGCAUCAACUCAUUUAUUUUGAAUUUUCUUCUAUUUUAAAAAUGAUACACACGCAUAUAUAUGUUUUUUUUUUUUAAAAUGUAUAUUUUAAUAAUUGUGUCCUUUCUUUGUCAUGUCCUAAAUUUUUAGAAGAUGGCGCGUCACUGUGUUUGUUGCACGGCUCGUAUCCAUAGUUAUGCUUCUUAGGGCUUAUGCUCUCUUCCUGAGGUGGAAGAUGGUUCUACUUCAAUCUUGUUAUAAUAAUUUAUUCACGUUCUUUUUCAAUUCAUUGUUUGUUCAUUCUUUAACUAUGAUUGGUAAUUUCAUAAGUAACUGUAAGCAAUCAGGUGUAUAGGAUCAUAGGCAACCUCUUAUUUUCCUUUUAAAUCCUGCUUUUCACUCCAAGUAAAAUAGGCUGUACUUUACCUGCUUCAAUGCUGCUGUGGUUUAGCAUGGAUUUUCUUAAUUUUAUUUCGUUUUCAAUAUUCCAGCAACAAGUUUCCUUGCAGUAGACGCCGCAAAGGCUGAAACUUUAAAGCAUAUGUGGGUAAGAGUUAGUCGUGUAUUGUGUUUUCUAAAGCCACAUGAAUCUAUAUUCUUUUGAGACUUUAAUUCCCUAAAUUCCAUUUAUUUAACUACUUUUAAAGAUUUUCUAUAUUACUUUUCACCAGUUCCUUUUAUAAUCUUGAUGAAAUUUAUAUGUAUUUCUAUUUUCCUUUGGACAUAUAGUCGUGAGAGGUUUCUUUAUUUGUAAGUGAGUUUCAAUUGUUUAUCAGUUUCAAUUGUUUAUCCUUUAUGAUGACCGAGUUUUUUAUUUUUCAUUUAUUUAGUUGUUUCACUACUUUUUGGGGUGAGGUAUGGGUUUGCCAGAUAAGAAUGGUCAACUCAUUAUAACUUCAAUAGAAAACAAAACUUGGUAAUAGGACUGCUCUUUAGCAUUACUUUCCAGCUUUGUUUGCUUGGUUAAGAUGUUGGUCUCUAUCAGUUGGAUAUCAUGGUAAAUGAAUUAGUCUGCGUAUAUGUUAUUGGUGUAUAACUGUAAAUUAUAUCAGGAACUAGAAUUAUUUUCCUUCAAGUCAGGAAGGAGCUGCUUCUGUUUAUACUCUGGCUGAUGGUGGCAUGGGAGAUUGGUUUGGAGGCAUCUUGUAUUCGGCUGGACAACAGGCUAAUGUUGCAGUUCAGGAUCAGUUAUCUGCUCUUAGUUUUACAAGGUCCAGUCUUGUUUUUCUGCCAUUUACAUUUCAUGUCUUUUAAGGAUUUGAAUUUGAUAGUAAACGGCUUUUUUUUCUAUUUCUCUGCCCUUGAUCACUUAUUCCUUUUUACAGUUUGGCAGUAAUUUUUGGGGCAGGGUUCGUAACAAGCCUUUCCCCUUGCACACUGAGUGUUUUGCCUUUGACCCUUGGUUACAUUGGUAAGCAUCUCAUACAUAUAUUCUUGGAAUCUUGGUAUGUUAUUUUCCUGUCAUAUGUUGAUGUUGUGAUCCAAUGGAACUUUGUAGGAGCUUUUGGAUCAGGGAAGAGCAAAGCAGAGGUAAAUUACUUUCUACACGUGUUCCAAUUUUCUUCUCUUUGCUCUUGUGAUUGUGGUAUCAAAUUAUAGAAAUCUCCAAAUCAAUUGAGCGCUAGAUGUUUGAUGAUACAUUCAAGAUCCUAGGCUCAACCCUCUAGGUUGAAAGUUUAGGCUCUGCUUGAUAAGCAUUUGAUUUUGGUUUUGGUUUUUUGUUUUUUAAAUAAUAAGAUUAUAAACACUACUUCCACCCAUAUAUUUCUAUAUUCUAUUAUCACUUUCUACUAACAUUUACAAAAAACAAGCCACAUUUUGAAAAUUAGAAAAAAAAAGGUUUUUGUUAUUAAAAUUUGACUAAGAAUUCAAGUGUUUAUUUUACAAAAGUUAACCAUAAUUGAAAUUUUUUAUAGAAAACGAGUGAAGAUUUUAAAUGCAGAAAACCAAAAACCAAAAUCGUUAUCAAGCAGCGCCUUAAUAGUUUAUAACACUGGUUGUCCUUAAUAGUUUAUAACAUUGGUUGUCAUCUGUUAGUUGGGCUUGGGGUCAACAAAACGUUAAUGAGAUAAGUAGGGAAGGUCGUGAAUCUAUUGUAAAGAGUGGGGCCCUUCAACACCCUGGUAAUAGAAAAAUAAUAAUAAUAAACCAGGACUAGAAAGAAACUAUUCAAUGGUUCUUCGAUGUCAGAGUUUUCAUAUCCUUUGCCUGUCCAGAUUUAUCAUCAUUGUACCUAUCACAUUUCUAUUGAAAUAUAUGCAUCAAUGUGAGCGGAUGAGUAAGGGAACAGUUAUAGAAUAAUUCUAAGGGCACAGUGGUAAUUAGCUUUUGGUGCUCUGGUUAUGAGGGAAGUUGGACACCUUAGGGGAGAUCAUUUUGAUAAGUCCGGAAUCAGUGUAUUUGUUGUAGGAGAGAGAUGACAAAAGGCUAUUGAUAUUGUAAUUUCUUAAUUGAUAUUGCAAUGUAGUAAUCCUUAGUGUUUUUCACAUAUUUUCUGUGUUUGGAAUCCCGAUAGAGUCCUUAUACUCUGAUGGUUGGGGUGAAUAUGCAUAUAUGUGAGAUGGUUUUCAUAGAAAUGGUUGAAAACUGUGCUGAUGGUCCUUGCUUUGAGAAAGGAAGUUAAAUGGAAUUUGAUCUCUUCAUAUUUUCAGGUUGUUGGAAACUCUGUUGCUUUCUCAUUAGGACUUGCUACCACCCUAGCGCUGUUAGGUAUAGGAGCUUCUUUUGCUGGAAAGGCAUAUGGACAGAUUGGCCAAGGAUUACCAUUGGCUGCUUCAGGCUUAGCUGUUAUUAUGGGCCUAAACCUACUGGAGGUAUGAUUAGAUAUUCGAAGGGUACUUUGGUAUAUCAUUACCUAUUAUUCAUAAUCAUCUCUUUUGUGGAAAGAAUAAUUAAAUUUGUCUCAUUAUAAAUGUUUCACUUUGUUGUAUUUGUUAGUGGGUUGCAGAACCUGAUACCCAAGUACUCGACUGCUUUUUUCACAAUGUCGUUUUGGAAUAGUCUUCUGAUGGAUUGAUUCUAUAAUUUGUCACGAAAUGCAGAUAAUUGAGUUGCAAUUACCCUCAUUCUUCAACAAUUUCGAUCCCCGUUCUGCUGCUGCCAACUUUCCAUCAAGUAAUUGGCCUCUCCAUUUCUUUUGGCUACUGGUUACUUACCUACCUGGAUCCCUAACAAGAUUUUAAAUCUGAUGUAUUAGGCGUGCAAGCAUAUUUAGCCGGGCUAACAUUUGCUUUGGCUGCAUCGCCUUGCAGUACUCCUGUGCUGGCUACUUUACUUGGAUAUGUAGCUACAUCCAAGGUGCCCAAAGUGUUUCCUACACUGAUUCGACUUUGAUCUUAGUUUCAAUAGAUUGAAUUGUAUGAUUAUUAAAGAAUCCUUGAAAUUAAAAAAUGUCAUGUAUAUAUGAUAUUGACCGGUUGUGACUUUGAUUGUGUUCUCUCUUAAACCUAGCCUUGGAGCUUUGAAACCUUUUUAGUGAAUCAGUAGGGCGGAUAACCAACCUAAUUGUGGAAGAAGGAUGAAAUAAUCCAUUUUCUUAGUGUUCCCUGUUAAUGACUACUCUCUUUUAUAACAGGAUCCCAUCAUCGGGGGUAGCCUCCUUUUGACAUACACAACCGGUUACGUCGUGCCGUUACUUCUUGCUGCCUCAUUUGCUGGAGCAUUGCAGGUAAUAUGGUUAUACUAGGAAGGAGAACUUACCUGCAUGUAGAUAUUGUCUGAAUAUACUAUAAGUUUAUCAUGUGACUUUUUAAAAGUUUUCCCUUUUGUUACUUUUGAUGCUCUAAUUCAUUGGAGAUUGCUGUAGUCUCGGGUUUUAUUAUCUAUAUGACUCUUGUAUGCCUGCAGAGUCUUCUGUCUUUCCGCAAGUUCUCAUCAUGGAUUAAUCCUAUAAGGUAAUUCCUCUUAAACUCAUCUUUACUUAAUUAAGAUUACAGAUCAAAUGUUCAAUUUCAAAAGUUUGGAACCACUAUGAGUUGACUUAGAGUCUUAAUAAACUACAUGAGUUUAUUCCAUUCCAUGGCGUCCAUUUACCUAAGAAUUAAUUUCGUACGAGUUUUCUGUGUCCAUUUACCUAAGAAUUAAUUUCAUACGAGUUUUCUGAGUUAGAUAGAUUGUUUCAUGAGAUUAGUCAAGGAUCUCAAGGUGCAGAUAAGUUGGCUUGUGAAGAUAACAAAACAUUCAAAGGUUUGGUUUUGAACACAGGAAAAAAUAAAGAUGUUCCAACUUCAAAACAAUAUCAGUUUUAUUUUCUAAAAAUGCAUAUAAAAGAAAUGCACCUCUUCUAUAAAGUUAUUCUAAACUCACUUAAAAGAAAAAAUUCCCUUAAUAUAGGACUGUUGCAACGAAAACACAUCCAAGAAAAAGUCAGGUUUGCUGGGAAAAAACGGUGCAUAAGAACUAAAUAAAUCUUGCAAACUAAUUACACAUUAGAUGCAAUAAUAAUGUUUGAAUUCCAAGUAAGUAAGAUGAAGCAACUAAAAUCUAUAAAGGGACGUCUUUUUGAUAACCGCCACUCUGACGACUAUUAGAAUCAAAUAAAAUACAAAACUGAAUUAUCUUUUCUUAAAUAUAAACAAAAUUCAUCGAAUGGUAGAAGUAUUUAAUCUAACUAUUAAUCCCAUAAAAAAUUCACCCUUUUCAUCGUAUCAUAAAAUAUGCAACAAGAUUUCACAUUAAAGUAUGGAUUAAGUUUUUGAGUUGAUAUGUUUUGGUAGAUGAAAUAUGAUAUGUUUUGAAGUGGGUUUUGUUUGUUGUUUGAUGUUUGAUGUAUAUGCAGUGGCGCAUUACUAUUGGGUGGAGGUCUAUAUACGUUCCUGGACAGAUUAUUUCCAGUCACAAUGGCAAUGUAAGAUUGAUUUAUUAAUUAUGUAAAGAAAUAUCUAUAUAUAUAUUCAAAGUCCUUAGAUAAAAUGAUAAGAUUAUGUUGCUCUCUCAUCUCAUUCAAUGGUCCAUAUUUUUCUGUGUUUCUUUUGGCCUCACUAUCUUUAAUUUCAUGUGGAUAAAGAUGAACCGUCAUAAAUAUCCCAAUCUCAAGUUUCAAAGAUAAAUCUAUAUUACCGACUUGAAGACUUCUCUAUGAUUUGGAUUUGUUUUAGCCAUGAAUUUUAUUUUAAAUGUUUGUUUCUUAGAAUUUAUGAAAAUUAUUGUGAAAGAUGGUGAUAAAACGUGCCAUAAAUCAAAUGAUUAUAUCCAUGAAGUCCUUGUUUUCACUAUAUGAGUUGUUUUGGGUGGAUUUUGAGAUGGGUUAAAAAAAAGUAUAAAAGUAAAAAGACAAAAAAAAAAGGGUAAGAUUCUUUUCCUAUGCUUUUGUUAAUGUAAAAGUCUCUUUGUUUUUUUCUUGUUUGAUUUAUACCUUUUCUAACAUCUUGAAACUUCUAUGAUUAAUUAUUGAAAUAUAUUUCUGGACGUGAAUUGAUUCAUUUGUAUAUUCCUCAUACCUAAAAGAAAAUAAACAGUGAAGAAUUGGAGGUUUUUCUUCCGGACAUGUAAAAAAGAAAAGAAAAAACAAAUUGAAUUUUAAUAUAAACAUCACCUAAAAGGAACACCAAGUUCAAAUGUGUACCAACUACAGAAAUUUAAAACACUAUUAAAAAAGAAAAAGAAAAAGAAACUAAAACUCAAAUCCUUAAUUCCCCAACUAAUCUAUCUAUUUGUAAUAAAAAAAAAAGGAAAUAGUUGAAUUUCCCACACAAACAAAUUAAAAAGAGCCCCCCCCCCCCCCCCCCCCCCUAUGAAUAUUCCUUUAUCCUUUUCUUGUGUUUACUAGACACACAACUACACUACGUUAAAAAAGGCCCUAGAAAAAAGCAGUUUUUUAGUCGGCCCAAAAAGCUCUUAUUCUUAUUCAAAAGCUUUGGGCUCCACCACGGCCCACCAUCUCCUGGUACUGCUUCAGCGAUUCUUGUCUUUGCAACCUCAUCUCGUCGUUAAACUUCUUGAUGAACGCCUCAACUCGUCGGUUCAACUCGUCCUGGCUCGGCGACGCUUCUCUCUUCAUCCUCCCUGACCCCCCCGGCGAACCACCGCCCCUUCCUUCCUUGAACGUCUCAGACUUCUUCAUCACCUUCGACGGCGGUGUCGCAGGGUCCUCCACCACCAUAGUGGGGGCCUUUCGCCCGUGGGACUCCCACGUGUCGGAUUUCCUUAAGUGCCUGGUUAACGGCAUGGACCUUCCUUCCGUUAUCUUCCGCCACGUGUUCUCCAGUGUGUCCUGCCGCUUCGGUUUUGAAACUCCCAACGGCUUUCCUUUAAAUUAACAAAAUCCCCCAUAAAACUUCAUUAUAUUUACGUCUUUUGCCAUUAUCCAUUUAAACAUUUGUUCGGUUCUCUUUCUCUAUCUCACCCCUACACACACCCACCGAACGCCUCUCUCUCUUUCUCACGACUUUUUUAAUUUCAUUUUUUCCCAAAUUUUGAAAUCAGAACAAAUCAACAAAUAAAGUUUCUACUCUUACUUAUCUUGUCUAAGCUCAAAUUUAUGAAAACUAUAUUUGAUCAUUUCAUUACCACCAAAAUUUAACACUAAAUUGAAGCUACAGGACUCAACUUUUACCAUCAUUCAUGAACUAAAUUCUUAUUUAUCAAAGUUCAAGAUUUCAUAAUAUUUUUAUAAAAAAUUCCAUUUCGUUUAGCCUUCUUGUGUUAAGGAUGGUCUCCGAAACCACCGGAUUAAAUUUCAGAUCUCUCAUGGCGAAACUACCUCUCUCUCAUUUUACUGACUACCUAUAUAGCAGAAACCAUGUUAAUGAAUUAUAAAUAGACAGAAUGAGAGAAAGAGAGAUCGAACCUUCAGGACUGGAUUUCACGAAUUUCCGUUGGCCAAAUCUUGAAGAAACCGGCGGUUUCUCCUCCUUGUUUGAGAACAGAACUCCGAUUGAAUCUUUUCUUGGCAAAGUGUUGGUGAUCGAGCUCAAUACACUACUCUCAUCACCACCUUUCAUCGCAAUCAUAGAAUCAUUCUCCCCUUUCUUCUCCAUCUCAGAAACCCUAGAUUCUUCAAUCCGUCCGUACACCUCGUUGGAAUCAUCGAUCUCAAGGUCCGAAACCUUCGUCACCACGUUCUGAUUCGCGUUGUAACUACUGUAUCCAUUCAAAAUGUCGCUACUACCACACACAGCGUAGUCAGAGGAGAUCUUAGUGACCGGAGGAGGAGCGGGUGUUUCCGGAAUGGGAUCAUUCUCGAGAUUGGACUGGAGCUUAGAAGAGGCAACAAUACUGAUGAUUAUGCAAUUAAUAAGCAAAUAAAGAUAAGGAGGAGUUAACCAGGAGAGGAAGGAGGUCCAGAUGGAAGGGAUUUCAGAGAAUACGAAAUCGGCGAGCAGUGGAACAGAGAGCUUGAGGAAGAGGGCCAUGGAUAGAAGGCCAGUAGAGAUUAAAAGGAUCUUUAGAGAAAGGAUCCAAUGGUAGUUGGAGGAGAGAAUGGGCAUAGCGAUUUAAGCAGUGAGGAUGAUUAGAAUCUUACCUUUGGGAGCGGGCAGAAGUGUUUUUGGUUUGAGGGAGCGGAACAGAGAGAAAUAGUUGAAUGAAGAAAGGGAUUUAUGCAACGCUCAUUUUAUAUAUACUCUGCCUCCUCCAUACUUUCUUUUCCAUUUUCUUAUUUUCUUUUUAUGUGUUUUAUAAUUUGUUGCGUUGCGUUUGGCUGAAUACCAAAAUUUCCCAUUUCCUAAUUAUCAAAUUCAUUUAUUUCUAAAUUAUUAAAUACUUCUUUUAUUUUACUUUAUUAAAUAAAAAUGAGAACAUUAUAAUUUUGCACAAUUAUCGAUGUUGCUAAAUAUUUUUAAUUACUAAUUUGUUUUUCUAUAUAGAUGUUAACAUAUUUAUUUAUUUAUUAUUAUAUUUAUAUUAUCAAUAUUUUAUUGCUUAUUUUUAUGUUUAGUAAAUUAUAUUAAAUUCUUUCUACAUCCUCUCUAAUUCAAAUAUUUAACCUCAUACUUUCCAUUAAAUUCACAUAUCUAAUUCAUAAAAUUAAGUCAAUUGACGUGUAUUUAAUAACAAUUUGUAUGGUUAAAUAUUAGGUUUCUUUAUUUUGAUGUAAAUUCAUUUCAAUUUUAAAAGCAAAAGCAGCUUAUUGAAAAAUCAUUUGUUGAGAUUUUUAAAACUGGCUUAAUUAAUAAUAAUAAUUAGAAUUUAUGAACUUAAUUUUUGGCAAAAAAGAACUGAAAAUGAAAUUAAUAAUGAGAGAAUGGGAAGGGAGAGGAGAGAGGAGAGGAUGAUUUAAAUAUUUGAAAAGAUAGAGAAAUUCCCAACGGCUAUAUUUAAGGGGAAAAAAAAGACCGUUGAUUGGGGAGGAAUAGAAGGGAAGGUGAGGGUUCCAUUGGGCGGUGGAUGCACUCUUUGUCCACGUGCCAGUCCACCUCCUUGUAACAAACCGACUUCCCCUCCUCCCUAUAUUCCUACGCCGUAUUUAAGUAAAUCAAAGUGAAUCCAAUGCCACACUCACACACACACACACACAUAUUUCCAACUUAUCCUAUCCUCUCCUCUUUUCCUUCAUCAUUUCGACUUUCCUACUUUAUCAUUCCACACAUUCAAUUUUCACCUCUAUGUCUAUUUAACAUCUGGACUCUUUACAAAAUAGCAAACAACUUUAUCAUACAUUAAUUCGGGGUGUUACUAUACAAUUAAUCUUUAACAGAUAGACACAUUGAUGUAGUAUUUGUCAUACACACCAAAUUAGAGCGUAUUUACAAUUAUGUAUUUACAUAUAAAUUUGACUUAGGUUGUUGGUCAAAAUUUUCAAAUUACAUUACGAAUCAAUUAGAUAAUCUAACUAGUCAAUGAGUGUGCUUGAUUUCAUGUCUGGCUAGGAUUGACCUUGACUUUGGUUAAGAGUGAGAAUAGUGGCUUGGGCUAUCUUCACUGGUUAAGAACGAGCACAUUAGAGCAAUGAUAACUACAAAAUGGCUUUACAAGACGAAUCUAAGACUCAAGGAUGAAUUUUCUCGAAGAAGGGGAGAAUGAUAAGCAUAUAAUUAUCAAUGAUUAGUUGAAACAUUGAAUAAGUUACUUUUAAAACGAUAAGCUUCCCAAUAAAGUUAAAGAGUUGCAUCCUUUCAUAUAUCAAAAGAAAAUAUUUCACCCAAAAUCCACAGUGAAUCUUGAGUUUCAUAUUCAUUCACAUGUUUUUUUUACGAAUUAUGUUUAUGUAUGUGCAAUUAUGAGAGUAGUCGAAAGGUUUUUAUAAAUUUAGACAAAUUAAGUGAAAAGUUGUGUCCUUUUGUGGUAUCAUUUUAGUUAAUCUAAAUAGAGUUAAAUUUGAAUGAAAUUUGUUAGAAAGUUUUACUGGUUAAGCUUUAAAAGCUUUUCUUUGUUUAUUAUAUUAAAACGCAUGUUCAUCACUUUUAAUCGAGUUUGAUCAAAAUUAAAUCAUACAAAGUUUAAAAUUUGGAAGUUAGAAACAUUUACUCAUUUCAUUUCUUAUUGAUCUCUUGUCAACCUUUACAAGUUAUAUAUUGAUAGUUAAUUGAUUGAAUCAUUUUGCUACUUUUUAAAACUAAAAGUUAAUCACUGUGCCAUAUUUUAAAAUGAGAUUUUAUAAAUAACUAUUCCUCUAGAAUUAAAGUUGUGAAAAAGACAAAAUAAAAAAAAAAGGCUAAAUUAUUUAGGUUUAGAUAUAAUUAAUUAUAAAUGAAGCCACCAACUUUUGGGCAUAUGGAAGGGGCCGGAAGAUACCUUUAUGUGAUGGCUAUAGAAGGCCACAAAAUUAGAAUGUAAAAGGAUGCCUUUUUGUAUUCGAAUCAAACACAUUACUCAUAUUUAGAUCUCUUUAUAUUUAAACUUCUAACAACUAUAUAUAUAUCCUUGUCUUUGUUUUUGUUUUUUCAAUCCUCCAAAUCAAGUCUCCAUCCAGUUUUUAGUUGUAAAAUUACUCAAUAAAAGAAAAGUUUUCAAAUCUUACUUUUAGUUAUUUACUCUUGUUUGGUUUAUAGAUAAGAAUGGGUUAGUUUCUUAGAUUAUUAAGGAUUUUUUUUAAUCAACAAAAGCUUGAAUCUUAACUAAGGAUUAUGAUAUAAUAGUUAGGACAUUUGUUAAAAUUGAAUACCGCUCAAAGUAUAGUGAUCACAAUAAUAUUUUAAUCUAAUUUUAGUUAUUAAUAAAACAUAUUAUGAGUUCAACCCUUAGAUUUUAAGGGGAUUUGUUCAUUCAGUUAUUACACUUAAUUUUUUUUUAUCAUAUAGCAUUGGAGACUUUUAUGUGAAGCUAAAAGUUCAGGUAAGUAUUUUGAUAUCAACUUUAUAAUUUUGGUUGAAAUCAUGAAUAAAAUAUUUAGAAGAAUCUUUACAUAUCUUUUCUUUUUCCUUAUAUUUUUUUUACUUUACUUGUCCUUUUUUUUUAAUUUUUAUGAAUUUUCAUAGUGUCAUUUGUCGAGUAGUUGUGACUUUUUGGAGUGUAUGUAUCGAUUAUAACUUUGCAUGUACAAUUGAUGUCAAGAGACGUCAAAAUGGAAUAAUAAAUGUCAUUUGGAUGCAUCAGAUCACGAUGAACACAGUUUGAAUUAGUAGAGUGCAUUGAUUCUUUUAUUGUAUAUGUGAGGUAUAUGCACAUGUAAAACAAAAACAAAACAAAGACUUGCAAUUACCUACUUAGAAAAAAAUAAUUUCACGAGAUCCAAAAGUUUAGAGAAUUUUCAAAACUAUAUCAUAUAAAAUUUUAAAAUAAAAAACGAAAAAAUAUCAUUUUGAAUGCUUAUAUGAUUAAGGAAUGUAUGAAAAAUAGUUGAGUGCAUCUUGGAUUGAACCUAUUUUUGUAAAAUUCACCUAAAUGCUCAUUCAUAAGCGUUGUACAUAACAUGUUUCGUUUUUUGUUUUUAAAAAAUCUCUUCUAUUAUUCUUUGUGGUUGAAAAGAAUGUAUGAAGAUGUGGGUAGCGUAAUAAAUGUAAGCAAUAUUGAAGAAAGUUCGUAUUUAUUGAUUGGCAACAAACAUAGAUGAAGUCGAAAAUGGUAAGAAAAUAGAAGAUAUGGUCUUCAUAUGUACCUAAAUAUGCUUAUUUGAGAAAUUGAUAUCCCAAAAACAAGAAGAAAACAAACUGUAUACGUAAAAUAGAAAUGAAAACAUAUGGUGCAAAAGGAAGGGGUGUGAUCUUCUAUGUGUAUGGGUGUGUGUUUUUGUUAUAAUUUCAUGGCCAAGAAUGGUUUCAUUUUUGUUUUGUUAUGAACAAUUUAGAAAUAGGAUAAUUGUAUAGCACUUUAGGUGUGUGUGUGCUCUAAGAAUUUAGCUUCUUCUUCUGUUACAAUUGAAUGGUGUUGGAGUCUUCUCAUUUUUUUAAAUUUUUUUUUACGCUUACCUAAUCUUUUUUUCUCACCCCUUUUUCAACAUUGAUGAUUUCUUUUAAAAAAAAUAAACUUUAAUUUUUGAACUGUUUGUUGAUCUUAUUGGAUAAUCAAUUUUUGGAUUUGAUGAUCUUCCCAUAUCAAAUUUGGUUUGUUAAUCUAUUGAAGAUAACUUAUUGAUCUCUUGGAGAAUCGAUGUGCAAGCUUAUUGAUCUUUCUCGGAUGAUCAACUUUUUGGAUUGGCCUCUAGCUUGCUGAUCUACCUAGAUCGGUCAUACAACUUCAAGAAGUUAUAUUACUCAAAGCUUUGAUCGUAUGAGCUUUAGAUCUUAAGAGCUUUAAUUUAGAGCCAUAGUAUUCAAAAUUCGAGAGCGAGCUUCAAAUUAAAGUUUCAGUCUUUAAAAUUUGAGUGUUUUAGUCUCCUAGAAUUCAAAGAGAUUUAAUUUUUUAAGUUUUCGAUUUUUUGAGAAGCUGAUAACCUUAAAAUUGAUUAUAAUUUUAAACUUUUGAGAACCUAGGCUUAGUUUUCAAAUCUCCGAGCUUCAAGACACUUUGUUCUCAUCUCUUCCCACGUCUUUUCUCCCUAAAAUGAGAGGUGUAAGACCUUUGUUUAUAGAGUUUUCUCAUGUGACUUCAAAUGAGCUUCACUAAGUUGCUCGUUGGGCUUAGGCUAGAGCUAGUGAUGAGUCCAUUAUCUUUUUGGACCCAAAAUUUUGCAUUGGUUUGAAUUGGAAUGGGUUCGAGAAAUAUCAAUUACUCCAAUCAAUCCAAAUUUUAAUUUUCACAAUGAGAACUUCUGAUUGUGAUGACAUGAUAGAAUUUAAUUAGUUGAGAUUUCUCAUUAACACACUUCUUUAUUCUAAAAGAUUUUAUUUCAAUGGAUUCUAAAUUAAGAAAUAUGAUAUAUUCUACUUAUAUUUUAGAUCCAAAAUAGAAAAAUUAUUGUAAACUUGAUAGGUUUGGAAUAUUUACAAAAUAGAAUCUUUUUUUAAAAUUAUAUUAACGAUAAAUAUUGAUAAACACCGAUCGACUUCUUUUUUCUAUCCGUGUCUACCGAGUUUGAAAAUUUUCCACAUUUUGUAAGUAUUUUAAUUUUUAAUUUUUUUUUUUUUGCUGUAUUUCGAAAACAUCCCUUUAAUUUAUAUUAAUAUAUAUAUAUUAUCACCUUUUCUAUCUUUAGAUGGGAAAAGAGAGCAUAAGGAAUUUGGGUGUAUUUAGAGGUGUGAAUGUAUGGGUGUGAGUAUGUGGGUAUGUGGGUAUGUGGAUGUCGUUACAAUAAUCACAAAAAUGGGAUUAGAAUAAGCUUGAUAUGAAAAGAGGGUUUUGGGAGAAAAGUUGAAUGAAAGGAAGUGUGUGAACAAAGAGAGGGAGACUGUAUUUACUAAAUAUUAUUUUUUACCACCUGAAUUCCUAUUCAUCAUCUCAUUGUUUCACUACCCAUCAUCUCCUUUAAUAAUCCUCCCCUAGUCGCCUUCCCUUCUAUCAAAUUGCUUUUUUUUAUUCCCCCAUCAAAAACAAACAAACCCAACACACUUUCCUUCUUCAACUCUUCUCUUAUUCUUUUGGUUAUACCAUUUUGCCAUUGUGGUUCUUUUCAUUGUAUUUCCUUAUUAGUUGUUAGGUCCUUUUCCUAUUAGGUUAUUGUAUGCCUUUUUGCUUUUGCUUUUGUUUUUGUGCACAAACAGAUUAAGAACUGUUGUGUGUUAAACUCACAACUUUUAUCCUCCUCUUCAUGUGCUAAGGUUUUAACGUCUUGAAGUUGUUAUCGUUUUGUUCAUCUAGUCUUCGAAUAAAAUAUGAUGUUGGCAAGUUGUACAACAUUGUUUGAAAAGUUCAGGACUUGUAGUGUCUUUAGGUGAGUUUGUUUACACUAUAGUUGCUUAAGGUCAACAAUUUAGGAGGAGCCUGAUAUAAUCAAGAAUAGUCAAUCAAGUAUCAACUACUUAGUGAAAGUCUAAGUGAUCGUCUACUCUAAUCUUGUCAUUAUUAUCUAUUAAAGAUAACUUGCAUACUUGUAAUCCAUAUUAUAAACUCUAGUGAUCAACACAUUAUUCUUCUCAAUUGGACAAAACCCCAAGCAUAGGUGUAUUUUACCAAACUUAAUUACUAAGUUUCUUGUGUUAUUUUCUUAUGUUAACUCUCUCUUUUUGUUACUUCUGUUAAUUGUCUUGUUAUAACAUUAUAUCCCACGUUGUAUCGUUAAAUUAACUCCUAUUGUUUCUUUUUUUUAAAUGCAUUGUUUUAUCCUAUUAAUUACUACUUUUGUUAUAUAUAUAUAUAUAUUUAUUUGUAUUUUCUCUAAUCCUUGUAACUCAAGAUAAUUACAUUGCUUUUAAGUAGGUAAAGGUGCUAAGUAUUUAUUUCUUUUUUCCUUUGCAUGUGCAUCUCAUAUAUAUACAUUAUUGGAAUAACUAAUGCACCCUACCCAUUCAAUGUGUGUAACCACCUCUAUCUCUAUCUCCAACAAUGCAUCCAAAUAACCAUCUAUUACAUUUUAUCUUGAAGAGUAGGGUUCCUCAACACAAUUAUUGCACUUUAAAAGUCAUGUCUACUAUCUUUCACAUGGACACUAAAACUUGAAAAAGUCUCAGCCACUAAACAAGGGUUAUAUAAGAGUUCAUAAAAAAAAUAAGAAUAAAAGGAUCGUGACAUGUAAAAAUUCUCCAUACAUACUAACGAUACACUAAAACCACACAAAUCAUUUCUUCCCCCCUUCCUCUUUGAUCCAAAAAAAUCAAAACGGUGGCUCAAAAAUCUUAUACACUGAGGCAAAAAAGAAAUAGAUUUUAAAAAGCAAAUGAGAAUCAUAUCCCCAGUAUCCACCAAUCUCAAACGGGUUAGUACACCAUAAUUAGAAAUAGAACUAAUCGGAGAUUAGAUAUGAAAUAUAUGAAUUGAGUAACACCCACACCCACACCCAGAAAUUAACCAAUCUUCUUGCAUUAGGGCUAAGGAGUUUGUGAAAAUUGGACGAAUAUGGAAAGGCCACAUUUAAGGCCUAAGUUGAGCUAUUAGGUAUUGAAUACAAAAACUAAACCAGUCCAUCAAUGCAUUUGAUAUUCACACGCAAACCAAGAGAUAAAGAUAACACAGCAGCUAUGGCAAAGGAGAAGUAUAUAGAAAGAAAAAUAGAAAAGAAAGUCAUUUAUGGUACCCAAGUGUUUUUUCAAAAGUGUCGUUUUAUACGUGCAUAUAUUUCCUUGUUUGCCCACCUGAAAUUUUGAGACUGUGUUCUUGACACAAGGGCCUUCAAUAUGAAAAUGGUGAACAUCUCUUUCUCAACCUCUCUACACUCUCACAUUACAUUGACUAGUUGGUGCAUAUGUUAAGUGAUUUUUUUCCACUAUUGUGCAUGUUGUUCGAAUUGACAUUCUAAAUCUAGGUUACAUAGUGUGUAAAUUAUAGGUAUAAAUUAUGACUUUUGAUUGCAUUAACUCAAUCCAAUAGUUCUUUUAUGUAACUUAAACAUGUAUGUAUAAACAUACAAGUGGCCGAUCCUAUUGAAAUAAUAACCAAAAUGGUAUGUAACAUAUGAAUAAGGUUGGGGGACUUAGCUUGGUGUAUCAUAUACAAAAAAAUUGUAUAAAAAUCGGUUUUGGCGAAAUGAUUAAUCACUCUUUAUAACAUUGUUGGUUGAAUAGAUUAACAUUAGAUAGUACAUAAGCUAAUAGACAAAAUUCACUCGUUUAGGAAGUUGCAUAUUAUAAUUAAUUAAGUAAAAGACACAAUAUAUAUUUACAAUUAACAAAUGACAGAAACAUACAAUUCUAUCCAACAAAUUAAAUAUUACAUAAUAUCCUACUUAAUUACUUAAAAGUGCUUCUUAAACAACACACAAAAAAGCCUUCAUAAACAAUAAAAAGUUAAACCAUAAUAUUGUGUAUUUAAAAUUCACAAAACAAAAUAUUGAGUCCAUGUUGAAAAGUUCAUUAAUUGAAUCUAAUGCUAAAAAGAAACGAAUAAAUCAUAUAUCUGUGAAGGUUAAUUAAAACACUUUUGAAAGGUUCAUAACUCGUUUAAGGUGAAAAAAUACUAAAAUUUUGCUGCCUUUCUAACGGUAUAACCCUCAACACACUCAAUUUUUAUUAAAAUAAGUUUGCACAAAGAAUUGAUCUUUUCUUUGAGGAAUCUAAAUUAUUCAAAAACAAAAUAAAUAAAAACCUUAGACGUGCCCAAAACUUUUUAUAAUUAAGGUUUCGAAUCUUCUUUUUCCUCUUUCAAUAUUUUCUUUUUAAAACCAUAUCAUUAAUUGCAAAUAUAUAUAGGCAACAAAAUAAUAAUGAUAAAAAAGAAAAGAUGUUUCCUUGGAAGACUAAUAUAAUUGAUGGGAAAAACUAAAGGCAGUAUAGUAUAGAGAAAUGAAAGAAGAUGAGAGCAACCUUUUGCAUCUCUUAAUUAAUUGUGUUGCCAAUGCCAACUCUACAUUCUUUCCUUCUUUACAAUUUCAUUUGGAUACCUUUCUUUAUAUCUUCCGAUCCAUUGUUCUUUCAAUUAUGUCUGUCUUAUAAAAACACCCAAUCUCUAUAUCAUCCCCACGUCCUAUUCUCUUUUUCUCUUUAUUAAUAAUAUAUACUCCAUUUUAAUUUCCCCAUCCAUCUCCAGUUUUUGUCUCCCUUUUUUAUCUUCUCCAGGUACAUACUUUCUUCUUUUUUCUUUCACCCUUAUUCUAUAUUGUUUUCAGUUGAUUCCUCAUGAUAUACCCAUGAAACUAAUUCAAAUUUAAUUCUAUUCAUACAUCAAUUAAUGUUAUCUUUUCGGUAUAUCAUUACCAAUAAAUGCAUGUUAUAUUUUCUGUGUAUCAUUUUAUAAUUAUAUCCUUCAUAAUUUUCCAUCUAAAUUUGGUAUAUUAGUUAACCUAUGUACUAAAUGAAGUAUAUUUAUUAUACAACUGAUUAAAUGUAACUUAUAUGUCACCUAAAUUAUAUAAAAAAAUAAAUGAAAAUAGAACAUAUAGGAUUGAUACAAUUAAUGUAAUUAUGAUACACUAUCAAAGUUUGAGAAAAUAAAAUAGGUUAGAAACCAUAACACAACCACUAAGGCAUAAUCUAAACCAAACUAUUAAAUUGAACUAACUAAAUAAAAAUAACUUCAUAUAAUAAGGAAAAAAAAAAGAGAGAAAAAUACUCAAACAAUGUCUACCAUAAAAAUCAUGAUAUGUCAAUUGUAUAAGUGAUAAAUGAUGCACUUAUAUGUAUGAAAAUAUCAAAAUAUAUAAAUUGACUGAUAUAACAAAUAUGAAAUAUGCAUUUUUAUGCUGUACGUUGUAGGAGAAAGGGAAGAUGGGGCAGUUGUUUUCUACAAGAAUGGCUGGAAUUUGGGACAGAAUUGACAAAAAGUUGAAGUGUUAUAGAGAGUUUGAAGAAAACUUGAGUGUCCUACAAAAACUAGCAAGAGAACUAAGCUUCCAAUUAGAAGAACUCGAACAUACUUCGACUUCCGAACGAAGUGAGCAAUGGGAGGAGGAAGUAGAGGACUUGAUCGAAGAAGUCGAAGACUUAGAAAGAUCAAUCCUAAAAUGGAAGCUUUUGACGGUUGCUGUUUAUCUUUAUGGAAGGACAGUAGUAGAAAAGAUUGAUGAGGCAAAAGAGCUACUUGAAGAAGGAAAUUACCUUUUUCCCAACUGUUUCAAAUAUUUGAUUCUUGGAGGUGGAGUGGCAGCAGGAUAUGCAGCAAGGGAGUUUUCUAAACGAGGUGUCAAACCAGGGGAGCUCGGUAUAAUUUCGGAGGAAUCGGUGGCACCGUACGAACGUCCAGCACUCAGCAAGGGAUAUCUGUUUCCAAGGAACCCCUCGAGGUUACCGCAGUUUCACGUGUGUGUUGGUAGUGGAGGGGAAAGAUUGGGCCUCAAUUGGUAUGAAGAGAAAGGGAUAGAAUUGAUCCUCAACACAAAGAUUGUAAAAACAGACCUUAAAUCCAAAACACUCACAAGUGAAGAUGGUUCAGUUUUCAAGUUUGGGACUUUGAUUAUUGCAACAGGUUCAGGGGUUGUAAAACUGAGUGAUUUUGGUGUAAAAGGAGAUCAAGCCAAAAAUGUUUUGUAUUUGAGAGAUGUUAAGGAUGCUGAUAAAGUUGUUGAAGCCAUGAAGGCAAAAAAGAACGGAAAAGCAGUGGUUGUUGGAGGUGGAUACAUUGGACUUGAAGUUGGAGCAGUCUUGAGACAGAACAAUUUGAAUGUCACAAUGGUGUAUCCUGGUCAUUGGUGCAUGUCUCGGCUCUUUACCAAAGAGAUUGCCGAAUUCUACGAGCGCUACUACACUUCAAAAGGGAUUAAACUCGUCAAGGAAACAUCUGUGAUCGAGCUCGAAGCCGAUCCAAACGGGGAGGUAAAGAAGGUGAAGCUAAAAAAUGGGAGAGAAUUAGAAGCUGACGUUGUUGUAGUUGGGGUUGGUGCAAGACCUGCAACAGGUCUAUUCCAAGGCCAGCUUGAGAUGAACAAAGGGGGGAUAAAAACCGACGGGUUGUUUAAAACGAGCGUCAAUGACGUGUAUGCAAUCGGGGAUGUGGCUUGGUUUCCAAUGAAGAUUUACAAUGAAAGGAGAAGAGUCGAACAUGUUGACCAUGCAAGAAAAUCAGCAAUGAAAGCUGUGGAGGCCAUCAUGGAACAGGAAAAGGUUGUUGAAGUAUAUGACUAUCUACCGUACUUCUACUCGCGCGUUUUCGAUCUAUCGUGGCAGUUUUACGGAGACAACGUAGGAGAAAGAACUGUGAUGUUCGGAAACAGGAAUCUGGUAGUGAAAAAGCCAAAGUUUGGGUGUUAUUGGAUCAAAGAUGGGAAAAUAAUGGGAGCUUUCUUAGAAGGAGGGGAUUCUGAAGAAAACAAAGCCAUGCAAAAUUUAGCAUGGAACCAACCAAAGGUUGAUGACUUAAGAGAAUUGGAAGACAAAGGUCUUUCUUUUGCUUUUAAUUAUAAGGAUUUCCAAAAAACAAAUGCUGCCUAAGUACUUCUCUGAACCUCAAAAAAGAUUCAAUAACUGCAAGAAAUGCAGAGUAGCAUUUGGCGCUUUCUUCUUUUCUUUUCUUGUAAAUAUAUGGGCGUGUUGGUGAUUUCAAAGGUUUGCUUUCGUUUUUGGAAAUAAUAAUAAUGAAGCUAAAUAUAGCUCUUUGUCUCUUAUGUAUAUCAUCAUUAUUGGUAUUGUAUUGUUUGAUGGUCAUCUUUUAAAUGUGUGUGUAUUCAUUUAAAAUCAUGAACAAAAAUAGGUUUUUAAUAUUUAAAAAUCAAUUAUUACUGUGUGUAAACUAUAUUUGAAGAGUUCUAAAUUAACCCUUUCUAAAUUUCAAACCUAUCUUUUAAAAAAACUUUUAAAAUUGAUUAAUUUUGAAUUAUCAAACACAUGUUCUCAACUAAAAUUAUUAAGAAAUAUAUACUCUUUCAAAAAAAAAAUGUUUCUAACAAAACCCUUUAACUUAACAUUUCACCAUCUAUCUUUAUUAGGUCAAAUGUUUGAGUGCAUUUGAUGGACAUGACAAACUUUUAUUUUUAAAAAAAGUUUUCUUUAAUAGUUUCUUCUUUCGUGGUUUAAGAAAUGCAUGUACAUUUCCAUCCAUACAUUUUUUUUUUAGAGAUUUUUGCACAAAUAACCUCCUUGGAAGGGUUAACAACUUGAAUAUAAAAUCUAACUUUUUGCUUAUGUCACAUUACACUACCACAUUUUUGUAGCCUAUUAUGUUAGGCAUGACAUCUCUAUUUGUAACCCUAAUACAAUUAAAAUGACUAUAAACUUUAUCUCAACACGAUCACACAUUGCUUUUAAAACUAUGUUACAUAUAGUCAAACUCUAAAGUAGAUAAAUGUGGUAUUUGAACGUUCACCAUAAUUUUUCAUGUUUUAUAUUUGUAGAUAUGGAUAUGAUUUAAGUUAAAUUUAAGAGCAAUGUUUACGUUCAUCCACCUGAGAAACAUAUUUCCCAAAAUUAAAAAAGAAGAAAAAGAAAAAACGUAUUUUCUUAGAAAAGAAAAAUGCUACAUGGAAAGUUUUAAUUGGAUGGGGGCUCCUAAGGUUUUUCCAAUUUAACGUGAAACCGUGCGACGUGGCCAAAUUUUGGUACUUGAAUCAUGAAUGGGCAGGCCGAACAGCUACAUAAUCUUACAACGGAUCACCGUGAAGACACAAUCGGAGCCCAUAUAUUUUGAUUCCUUUUGCCGCCGGACGAUAACAUGGACGACGUCCUCGGAAACAACCGUUUUCGUUAUCUGAAAGAUACCUCUCAGCACCGUGACAUUCGGACGAAGAUUAUCCAAUUUCUCACCGGCGUUGGCAAGUUCGCCGUGGACUCUACCAUCUUCAGCUCACUCAAGGCCGUCUCCGGUUCUCUUUCUUCUCUCUUGCUUCUAAACAUAUAUCUGUCGAUUAUUUACAAAGUUUUGGUGCUUUCAAUUUUUCAAUCACAUUAAAAACACUACAGCCCUAAUUUCUUCAGCCCUUCAGUUUCUGAUCUAGUGUUUUGUUCUAUAGCUCUAAUAUUUUGUAUGGAUCUUCUUCUGCCGCUCCCCCCUUAAUAUUCUUUUCGACUCAUCCUUCAUUUUAUCUGAAUUAUUGGAUUUCUUCCCUCCCUGCUGCCCCGAAAGAAUGAAAAUUUGUUGUGAGUGUAUUUCUUUUGUUUUCGAUUAGGAAUAUGCGUGGAAGAAAAUUGAAAUUUGGAUAUUGCAAUAGCAUGUUAUAAGUAUCAUUGUUCUUUAUGUGAAGUUCCAUUCCAAGUAGUUGAUUUUUGCUCGGCCUAAAUGUUAAAUUUUCCUCCAGCAACUCCAGAACAUGUACCAAAAUUUGGAUUUGCCUUUGUUUUUAUCCAGUUUUCCCUAUACUGAUUCUAGGUGAAACUUUCAAAGUUUAUGUUUUUUGUGUGGCAAGUUGAUGGAGUUUGAGGAAGAUCACUCUGAUUGGCCAUUGUUUUGCUUUCUGUAGUGGGCCUAUUGGGGCUAGAGACCUUGACCAUAACUUCUAGACCCUAGAGUGUGAUUUAGCCUCUGUUAUUGUUCAGAGUUCUUUCUUUAAGGGGUUGCAGUCUUGUAGAUCAAGGAGUUUCUUCUUCAUUCUCUUUUGAGAGACGAAAAGAUUUGUUGGCAUGUUGGAAUGCUUGCUGCUUUGUAGGGCCUUUAGAUGGAGGAAUAGCAGUGUCUUUAAGCACUUAGGUUUUUGGGCCGUGGUUAGAUCGAAAUCUUUUUGUAGGGUUCAACAGAUGGCGGGAGAGGUUUUUGUAAUAAUCUGUUAGGUCCUGUCUUACAUGAUUGGAAGCUCUUCUUUAGUUUGCCUCUUCUUUCUUUUUUCUUUAAUCUCUUGGUUCUUGUCUUACUCGUUUGGAGGCUUUUCUUUAGUUUGCCUUCUUUAUUUUGAGCUUGUUUCUGUGUAUCUUUGAUCCCUCUCAUUUCAUUUCGGUUAAUUCAUUUAAAAUCCGUUAAGUUUAAAAUUACGUUGGAUUCUGAUAUACACUAUGAGAAUGGAAAAAAGUAUGUGAUUGUCAAUUUUAGAUUAUGUUCUGGUUGGUUUAGUUUUAAAAGAAUUUGGUUACACGUUGGUGUGAAAUUGCUUUUGUUAAAAGACUGACCUGAAUUGAUCUGGUUACACCCCUACUGAUUCAAAUGAAGAAAAUCCAUUGCUAUACUUACAUCUUUUUCUAUGGCUUUUCCUUACGUACUGGUACCUUUGUCCAAAUAAAUGAUUAGUCUCCUGGUUUUUUGUGGACGAUAUCUCUGGAAUUCCUCUACUGAAUUCUGCCAAUAGUAUUAAACUCUUUUUGGUUUUUGAUUUUUGGUUACUUUCUGGGGUGGUUGAAUGAUGUAGGUAAGAGUGAGGUGCAUAAGAUUAGGCAGGGAGGGUUAAAGGAUACGCCCUAUUCAUCAUCUUUGAAUGAAAAGAAACCAGAAGAGGUUAAACUAGUGAUGAAACCAGAAGAGGUUAAACUAGUGAUGGAUAAGAUGCAGGCAGAGAUGGAGGAAAAAGAGGGAAACGUGAAUAAAAUGAAGCAACAGCAACACCAUUGUACAUCUGCAGAGAUUGUUGAUGAUGACUCUGAACCACUGAAGAAGAAGCAGGGGGAAGGCGACAAAGGAUCAGCCAACGUAAUUCAAAACAAGAAAAGGAUCUUCAUCCGUUCCCGACUAUAGACACAAUCCAGUUCAUUAUUAUUGUAUUGUAGCAUAAUAGUAAGAAUAAUGGAUUCCUUUCUUGACAGGGUACGUAAGUUGUACUUAGAUGGAGACUUUUAUUAUAUUAUCAUAAUUUGUAAAGCUAUGCAUCCAAUAUUUUCAUGGAUGGAAUUCCUUAGCUUAGCAAGUUGUAAACAAAUUCCUCUCUUGUUGGAAACAAAAUAGAAGUUGAUUAAUAGCAUUUUGUUUUUGGCAGGAUUAGUAUAUUGACUACACGGGUUAUCCUAAUAUGACUUUUUUUUUUAUUAAAAAGAAUGUAUUAGGUGUAUAAAUGUGUAAUUUGUUGUUUCCCCUUUUAACAAAUGGAAAAAGUUGAUCUUUUGCAAUUACUAAAUGUAGUUAGUUAAAGUAUAGGUUAAAUUCUCCCAAACAUUAUCCAUACGCUUAAAUGUGGUAUGAAAGUUAAUAAUCAAAAUUGAUUUUCUUUUCAUUAUAUCUAUUCAUCCAUUUUAAUUUAAAAUGGUUGCAUUUAGGUAAUUAGGUACUUUUGUAAUUGGAAGAACUUGUUUAUUGACAUCGUACUUAAACUUGAAAGGACAAUUUCCAUAAUUCAAUUUUCAAUCUAUACUUGAAAAGGAGCAUUUAUAAGAAUAGCAAAAUUUUAUAUUUUAUUAAUAAUAGUCUUUUAUAAUUAUGCUAUUUUUUGAAAAUUCCCUUCAAAAGAAAUUGUUUAAAUAUAAAUACAACCGAAUUUCGAAUGACGAUGCGAUGUAACGACACUUGAGGCUUCUCUGAAGUUCCACGGGGUACACUCUUUUCGGCACAAUUUCUCCAACAGCAGAGCACCCAACCAUGGCGGCAUGGAUGGCGGCACCUCGCCGUAUACUUUUGUCGCACAACUCACUUUCUACGCCUCAAAUCGCCUCUCUAACGCAUCGGCGCGGUCUCGCCGGCGGUGGCGGUAUUUACGUUUUCCAAUUAUUGCUUUCUUUACAGUUCGUAAUUUAGUUUGUCCUUCACCCCGAGCUACUAAUGAUUGGAUGCUGAGAAACUUUGAAAUUGGAAGGAACUAGAAAUCUAUGUGCUUAUUUCGGUAUAAUAACUAUUCGUUACUCGAUGAAUUAGGAAUUAGAACCAGUAGUAGAACUGGCUCCAUGACCACAUUUUUUGUCUCCUCGAUCAUUUGCCUUUGGGUUUUUCUUCCUUGAUAUCUGAAAUUGUUCAUAUCAUAUAUGAAUUUGUUGAUUCUCUGCAAUCUGCUCUACGUUAUAUAUCAAUUUUAUGUAAACUCAUAAGGGUAAAAAAAUCCAUUUCUACGAUACUCCACUUCCAACUUUUACAGCUUUUAUAGACUUGAAAACCAAUUAAAAGUUACAUAGACUUGACUUUAUAACGUAUUCUUUAUGCAAAUGAGACUCAAACUUUCUAAACCAAACUUCGGUUACUGAGAAUUAUUGUCAUGCGUAGCUAGCUAUACAAUCGUGUGUCUAUGGAACUUGGCACGACGCCCCGAUAACUUUACAGUUUACGUCUGAUUCAUCAUGUAAAUGCUGCUAUCAGAUUUGAGAGCUGAAGUAAUUGAUGAACUUGGAUCUACAAGUAAUUUGUUUGUUCUACUUUUUUGUAAUCUUGCAGAUCAUCAUGGACCUCCGAAGGUGAACUUUUGGGAGGAUCCCUUUAAUCCAUCCAGAUGGAAACGAGAACAUGUGAGCUUGUACUAAUUACUGAAACUGAUUAUCAUUUGAACUCUGAUUAUUUCGUUCCAAUCAUAUACUAUGAUGCAUACACAUUUUAGUUUGGUUAACAUGUUUGUGGUGUUGAACUUACAUGUUGGAUACUCCGACACCGCGAUGGAUAGUGUGUAAUACAAUAGUUAAACAAACCGAGUACAUGCUGAUUACUCUGGUUAAACAUUAUAAUCCCGUGGAGAACAGUAACACUCAUGUAUCUUUUGGAAACAAUUAUUAGAGACAUGAUUAAUGCUACCUUCCAUCUUAUAUAAAUCUUCGAAUUGAUUGAUUUCUUGAAUUUUUGCAUUGGUUUUUACAAUCACUACACAUCUUACUAACAUGUAUUUGUAUUCACAGUUUGUGAUUGUAUCUUUGACUGGAUGGGGUUUAGUUCUUUAUGGGGCCUACGAUUUCUUCACUAAAGGCAAGAAGGAAGAGGUAUGGCUUUUUUAGAACUUUAUUUAAGGAAUAUAUGAUUAGUUCUUCCUUCCAAAAAGAAAGUAGCCUUUAGAAGGAAUGAGCUGCUUUAUUCUUGGUUUUGUUGCUCGUGAUUUAGUUUCAUGAAUCGAUAAUGUCCUUCUCCCAAUGUGUUGUGUUGGAGUGUCAUUCCCUACUUUUCACCAAGAUAGGGCCAAGAAAUCGAGAAACAACCAAGUUAAAAAUCUGGUAUUCAUUUUUAUUUAUUAUUUUUUUCUUUUCUAAGUUUGUGUAAAAAAUAUCCAUAAAUUUUGAAAAGUUAAAAAAAAAAAAGACUUCAAAACUUUUUAAAAUGGUUCAAAACUACCAUUUCCGUUAGUUUUGAAAGUUUUGAAUGAAAACCGUUAGUUUUGUUUCCAAAAUACCCUCCAACUAUUAAAAAGUUUCAUAAAUACUUUAAAUUUGAAAAAAAUUCAAAAUAUUUUUCACCUAUCCAAUUUUUACACCAUUCAACAUAAAAACUAAAAUUUUAAGUUAAAGACCAUAAUUUUGAAUUUUCAUAUAUUUCUAUUUAUAUUUUUACAUUUUCAUGAAUUCGAUAUCUAUAAAAGGGAUGAGUGAUAUUUUCAUUACAUCAUAGAAAAAUCUACAAAUUACAAAAAAAAAAUAAACAUAAAAAUGGGACUAACAUAAAUAAUAGACAUAUUUAAAAAAUAAAUAAUUAAAUACAUGUUUUCUAAUUUGAAUUUAUUUUCAAACUAUUUUACUUUUAUAAUUUUUCAGAAAUAAUAAAAUACUUGUUUACUAAUUUGAAUUUAUUUUUAUAAUUUUUCAUAAAUAUCGGUCGAGAUCAAAAUCAAAAUGUCUGCAAUUAACACUUUGAUAUAUCCUAUCCAUCAACAUCAUUAUUUUAAACCUCACAUAGUUAUUUUACCUCAUCUCUUAAAAAAACCCAUCUCUGACCUUAGAAAGUAAACAAUAUAGGAAAAAGACGUAGAUAUGAAAGAGGUGUUGCUCAAUUUUCAAAUCUCGAUUUUGGUAGUGAACCAAUGGAUCAGAAAAUUCCAAAUUGUUUUAAGAAGCUUUUGGUUUAUUUUCUAAAAUAAUAAAGGUUAAAUUAAUGAUUAAGCUUUUUAACAUUGAGGUUCUCUAUUUGGUGCUAAACUUCCAAUCUUUAGUAGAUUUCUGUCAAGAAGGAAUAGAAAAUAAGGUCUUGGGCAUAAUAGUCGGAGAGAGCAAGAGAAUGUCACUCCAACUUUCAAGUGCUUCAUCGUAAGGGUUCUAGCAAGCAAACCCAGUAGUUGCUAUUACUCUUAGUAAGACCAGCCACAACAAUAUAUCGCCUAAAAUGACAUAUAAGAAAGACAUUGCAUUGAUACUUAGACUAAUAGCAAGCGGGAAGGGCACUGGAUAGAGACUGUAGGGUCUCAUCCCUGCUUCAACCAGAUGCAGAGACGGCACAGAGUAGAGACAGUCUUAGCUACAAUCUUUGCCCUUACCUGAGAAUCUUCCAUUUCUCGUCUGUAAACAGAAUAAUAGUCUUCCUCUCUUUUCAUUUGCAGAUUUGAAAUUAGAAUGCCCUGUGAACUCCUCCUAUUACAGAAGCAGCAGCUAAGAAAACUAACUUUGGUUGAAAAUUUGACACAUUCUAAAAUUGAUCCAUUAGAUGUUCAUUUAAAUUUAUGUCUAGGUCUAGUAAAAUUCUAUUCCUUCAAUUUUGUCUAAAUCUAACAUUGGCUGGAUAUGAUUAAUAACUUUAAGAGCCAGUAAGUAUUUAUUCCAAUAUGUUGGAAGAAAAUGUGAUUUAAAAAGAUCAAUACUAACCUUUCUUUUUCUCUGCAUAUUAUUGUUUGAAUGGCUUAGACGUUGUUGGUCUAACUUGCCUCUGUUCUCUCCUGCAGAAAGUUGGAGAUGGAAGACACUAGCUUCUCGGGUUUUCGAGACAAUAUCCUCAAGUAUAUAAAAAUAAAAAAGGUAUCCAAAAACGUGACUUUUCCAAUGUUUGAAUUAAAUAAGCAAAGAGUUUAUGUUGUAGUUCAUCAGUCUUUAUUAGUUACAGAGUAAAGAUUGUACCUUAGACUUGUUGUAUCAAAAUCAAUAUACAAAAGUGAAGGCAUUUCACAAAUUUCUACAGUUGUUUCAGAAUUGGAAAUUCCUACCCAUGAAGAACAUAUAACGAAUAUACAAAGAUCUCCAGUGUCAAAACUUAAUUCAAUCUGGCAAACCCAAUUGAACCAACUGAACUUGUCCCCCUAAAUUUGAUGUGCUUCUGAAGAAUACUAACUGCAAUCCAUGGUUCACAAGCAUUACAUAAGAAAAAGCAUGCUAUUUGAAUACUUACGAGUAUCUUAUGACUAUGGUCGACAACAAAAUCAAUCGCUUACCAAGACGAGUUCAGUCCACAUCUUUUACUUCUGCUUCUAUGUCAACAACUGCACCAGAAGUUUCCUUCCCUUCAAUCAAUCACAAGAGGUGGUUGGGUUUCGAGUAGGUUGAAUAUUUCUUUGGGGGGUGGGAAGAUUGAUUUAGUCCAGGAAGAAUCUUACCUUUUCUUGGAGAAGUAAAGUCACUAAAAGCUUGUCCAAAGGUGGAAGAAGUUUUGUUGGAGAACUUCACUGAGUCCCUCACAAACUUGUCAUCCACCACUGAAUUUGUGAAGGAAGAAUCAAUAUACACAAAUAAAUAAGAAGUUGUUAUGCAGUAUUCGAUGUUCUUGCAUAUAAGGAAAAGGAAAACGAAACAAACCAAACCAUGAUAAACUAACAGUUCACGAUCCAACAACAAUAAGAACUUGGGAUCUAUAAAAAUUUGGUAUUUACCAGAAAAAGGUUGGCUACAAAAAGGGCACAGUUGCAGCUCUUCAUUCAGAGUUGAUCUGCAAUAUGGAUGGUAAAUGAAGUGUGCUAAUCAUUUCAAAAUCGAGUAAUCUCCUCAAACGAGUUCUUUCAAGAUCACUUACUUGAAUAUUUGAAAUUCAUUUCCACAGUUAGGGCACUGCAAAUGCAAGACAAGAAGUGACAGCAUGUCAUUUAGAAGUUAUAUAGGCUCAAGAUUUGAGGUUGAAAAUGCAAAAGAUAUAAUAUAGACUAACAUUGCUUUGAACUAUAUCGCGUCCUGCCCACCAUAUAAAAGCGGCCACUCCAACAAUUGGUACAAGAACUGCAACAAGCUGAAUGGCCAUAUAUGUUAACAGAUUAAACCAAGGCUCUAAAAGCUAAAACAAAAAGGAAUUCAUCUUCCACCAGUUCUUGAAUCCAAACAAAAGAGAGCUACAUACACACAUUUUUCUCCCACUAGAAACCAGUUUUCAAAGCCUGAGCCAGAGGAAGCAAAUCAAAGAUAUUCCAUCCAAAAACACAACUAAACUUCAGAUUGGAGAUAUUCCAUGCAAAACAAAACUAAAUUUUAUAAAAGAACUCGAUAGCAUAUAUCUAAAGGGAGGGAUUGAAGUGAGCCACACUCUCUCAAUCAACCUCUCAGCAAGAAUGUUAUAUAUACUUAUGGUUCUUAAAUCACCAAUCAUCUAAAAGCUUAAAAGCUCAAGCUAAUGGGUAAGAAUAAAUUAAAUAUAAUAUCUAAUACUUCAUUCACUUGCAGACAUGAAAUAUGAAGAAUAGUCAAGCAAGUAAAUAUUAAUUGGGGAAGAAAUAAUAUUGUAGAGGCUUGAAUCCACGACAUUCUGAAACAACCUAUUUUGAUAUCAUCUUAAAUCACCUAUUCACUUAAAAGCUUAAACUAGUAGGUAAUGAUAAAUUUAAUAUAAUAGCUAACCAUUCUCAUUUUACUCUCCACAGCUAUCAAAGAAAAUGCCCUCUAAUGUAAGGUGGAAAAGCUCCCCUUCCCCUUCCAUCACAACUAAAAGGAAAAUUUCUAUGUUUCUUUUGAAAGUUUAAGAAAUACAGAAUAAGAACUAGUUAUAGGGAUUGUUGAAGUGUUGAUAUAAUUAAAUUAUCACUUCAUUAGUUUAAGUUGUUAGGUAAGUAAGUGAUUUUGAUAUUCAAUCCAAAAACAAAAAUUGAAUUUUAUAUCCAAGAUUGAUGAACCCACCAUCUUUGAGACAUGCAGAGGAUCUUAUUGUCUUAAUAAGAUAAAUGGACUACGUUGAACGCAGAAUUGAUAAUACCAGCAAAAUUAAAACAAAAAAGCAAGUAAAAGAAUAGUGUCAUUCAAAUGUUCAUCAAUAAUCACUAAAACUAAAACUGCUUAACACAAGCAAAUCAAGUACAUUUCACCCAGUUUUCCAAAGAGAAAAAACAGAUCUUAAACUCCAGAAACAAAAGCAGAAGCAGAGAGAGAAAGGGAGAAGAAGAAGAAGAAUACAGACCCAAAUGGAAACAAUGGCAUCCAAAACCCAGCCAAGCUGCCCUGUCACCGAGAGGUAAGUUAAGCCAGCAGCCAAAGCAAUAUUACCCACAAGCCUCGCAGUUGCCCCGUCGUCUCCGCCGUCACCACCGUCACCACCGUCACCACCGCCGCCGUUAAACCCAAAACCCUGGUUAAACCUUGCAACAAUUAGCCGCCCUCUUUUUCCCUUAAACCCUCCAUGCUUUCCAAAAACCCGUUGGUCAACCCAACCACCACCGGGAAACAACAAUCUCCAUCCAUAAAACCUCAAACGAAGCCCACUUGGUUUGCAGAAGACAACCUUGGGAGGGGGAAGAGGAUUGAAUUUGGUGGGUUUGUUGCAGAAAUUGUUGUGUAGUAUGUUGAAGGUAGAAAAUCUGAUGAAACUUGUCAUUUGGGAAUGAAGGGAGUAUUAGGAAGAAGGGUUUGAAAUCUCAGUGGUGAAGAAGAAAUUCAUGGUGGAUUAUUGAUUAUCUGGUGUGAGUGUGAGUGAGAGUGAGAUGCUAUUGAUGGUUCCGUAUACGGCUGCCUCGUUAUCCAGUGGCUUCUGUUGGUCCUUUUACAGAAACAAAAUGAGGUUGGAAUUCAUAGCUAAUACAUUCACACAUUGGCCCUUGAAAAAUCAAAAGUUUAUUUCUUGUCUAUAUAAUAUAACUUUCUAUUCUAAAAUCACCGCGGGGAUAGCUCAGUUGGGAGAGCGUCAGACUGAAGAUCUGAAGGUCGCGUGUUCGAUCCACGCUCACCGCAUUUGCAAUUUUUUUUCAUUUUUCUUUUAUAAAUUUCACUAAAUGUGUUUUGCAUCUUCUCUUUUUUGGUGUACUCUACACGAAGCAUUUGCAUGGGGGCCAUAGCUUAGCUUCUUAUGCUAUCUCUUCAUUUUCUUUAUAUUUUUGGUUUUUCUAAUCCGCCCUCUUGGUUUUCUAACAUUAUUCCAUCUGAGCUGGGAGAGGUGGAUAAUUGUUCUUUUUAUUAGGGUGUGUUUGGAAGAGGAAAAGUGUUAUGAUAAUAUAUGUUUGAGAUUAUAGUUAUUGUUGGUAGUGUUAUGGUAACAUGCAUGUGUUUGGGGGAAUGAGAUAUGAAUGAUAAUGUUAUGAUAGUAUGUGUUUGAGGGAGAUAUUAUGAUAGUAGUAUUGUAAUAAUGUGUUUGGGGGAAGAAUUAUUAUUGUAGUAUUAUUACAAUAUGCGUUUGGGGAAGAGUUAUUGGUGUAGUAUUAUGAUAAUAUACAUUUGGAGGGAGGAUUAUGAGAUUUUUAGAUUUUUUUUAUAAAAUAAUUAAUAUUGAUAUAUGUAUUAAUAAUAAAUCAUAUUGUUUUUUAAAUAAAUAAUAUUAAUAUAUGUAAUUAUAAUAAAACAUAUUAUUUUUUUCAACACGAUUUGCAAUUUUUCGUUAUAGACUCGAGAUUAGUGAAACAUUUGUUUUAUAAAGAGCUUAGCGUGAGAGGUCUUUAAAAUCAAAUUUUUUUCCAUCGUAAAUUAGUUAGAGCACUGAACUAAAAACAAUGCGCUAAAUGGAAUUGGAAAAACCAAGUUCAAUACAUACUAGGGUUAACAUAAUAGUCCAAUAGCCAUAAAACAUAGAUAAAAAUACGAAAAAGCAUUCAAUACGCAUAUUAAAACAACAGACGAGUAAGAGAAUGGAAUAUAUUGCAAACAAGUUAAGGUUUUUCUUUCAGAAUGACACUACAGAAUGAGAACUUCAUUUCGUGGGGUAUAUUGAGGAAUUCUUUCAUGUCUUCGACGUUGUGCAUCAAUAUACGCAAUAAGCGACACCUAUCGAUCAUAGUCAGCUCCGAUAUGGUUUGUAACUGGACAACGACCUCUUGUCGUGUUGUGCUCGCAUCUUGUAACUUGAGGAUGAAUCCGUCUGUAAUGUGAUUUAGUUGUUCAUUGCUCUACUGAAUUGCAUUGCGAACUACCACUACUAUAAAUUUGGUCUUUCUUGACGCACACAAAUUUUGAUUUCUUGAUGGUCAUGGCAAAGAACCAUCAAGAAAAAUAUUUUCUUGAUACAAUGUUUAUCUUGAUGGUCAUGUGCGUCAAGAAAAGUCCUCUUACUUUGUUGAAGAAAUACGAAAAACAUAAAAAAUGUGGAUUCUUGAUUUUCUUGAUGGACAAAGUUUUCUUAGUUUUGUUGAUGGUGCACAAAUGUCAAGAAAACUAUUUCUCGAUGGACAAAAAACAUUAAGGAUAAUAUAUUAGUUGAUUGACAAUACCCAUCGAGUUCGUUAGAUUUUCAUGAUGGACGAGGCCCAUCAAAUGAUGAAUUUUCUUGAUUUGCAAUGACUAUCACCGAAAAAAAUUAAUAUAUUUGUUUUGGAUUUUUUGAUGUGUCUAGGGUUUCUUGAUAGACAAAUACCAUAAGAAGAUAAUGAAAAAAGUCAAUCAAGAAAAAUGAUGUCUUAACAGGUAUUGCCCAUUAAGAAAAAAAAUUUGGAUAAUUAUAAUUGAUGACCAUUUUAUGAAUAAUAAUUAAAGAUAUAACCGCAUUUAAAAAAAAUUGCAAAUAUAGCAAAAUUAUCGGGGAUAGACUUGUAUCGCUGAUAAAUUUGUAUGAUCUAUCAAUGAUAGAUCAAUAUUUACAACAUGGUCUAUCGAUGAUAAACUUCUAUCAUUGAUAGAAUUUGACAAAUUUUGCUGUAUUUGCAAUUCUUUUAAAACGUUGCUAUAUACUUAAUUAUUUUAUAUCUAACGGCUAAAUUUGCAACUAUCCCAAAAAAUUAUAAUUUUGGGUUUAUGAUAAGAUCAUGGGCAAUGUCCAUCAAGAAAAAACUAUUUUUCAAGAAGCACAAAAUUCGGAUCUUACAAGAAGUCUAUCAUUGAUAGAUUGCUUUUAUAAAAGUCUAUCAUUGAUAAACACUUUUUUCUAAUUGAUUGCAAGUAUAACAAAAAUUUCCUCUAACCCUUAUAGCCCAUAAAAAAUGUACAAAAAAAAUAAUUGAAUACAUGAAAUUUCCAUUUUUUAAAGUCAGUCAUUGAUAGACCUGAUAACAAUAUAUCAUUAAUAAACUCAUUUUUAUAGAAAACUACCAUUGAUACCAUACUAUCAUCAUCAAUAUUUUUGUAUCACAAAUAAUGUCACGCCCCCACCCAAAACACGUCCUUCCCUCGCGUUCCCAAGAGUGAACACGACUUGGACAAUUUCAAUGCCUCUAACGAGGUGCCAGAAAGUUCGAAACUUAAACUUAGUUUUUACUAGAAUUUAAACUUCAAUUGAAUUUUUCUUCGCAGUAUGAGAACGCAACACUUAAGAACUUAACACGUUAUUAAUUCCUUAACAAACUCAGUACAAAUACAAGGCUAUGCUAAAAACCUUAAAGCUUCUAAACUUAAACUCCAACUUGUCCAACUCUUUUUUCUUGACACAACACAGUGGGUCGCCUUCACAAUGUGGCCUCCUCAUUUUGCUUACCUGGGAAAGGAAAACUUAAAACGUAAGUGACAUUUUAGGAAAACCUUUGAGUGAAAAACAAGUACGUGUGUAAAUUCAUUUUGCAAGAUUAAGUUCACAAUGCCUCAUCAUGUGCUAAAAACAACGAACACCACAUUAGCCUCUACUUAUCUCUUUCGCCUAGACAUGGAACCAUCCCCCCACACAUAGACUACUAUGAUGGCUCAUUUGAUCAACAACAUCCUUAGAGAUUUACAUGUUCGAUUCUAGUUACUCAGGUGGUCAACUCGAAUGUAGAUCUCUCAACACAUCCAAUAUAAUGACGUUUUCACCAUGUGGACCACUCAAUGCAUGGUUGCCUAUACUCUUAUGUGCACAUAAUAGCUAGCUCAUAAUAGGAAUAAAUAUAAUGAUUUACUCGCAUAGAAACAUUUCAUACAAGCAACAUAAAAUGAAACUCAUUAACUUAGAAACAUACUUUCAAAUGGUCAUGUUUUUCUUAUAAACCAUAAAUAAGAUUAUAACAUGAAUUGUACUAUACAUAACAUAACAUGACUUAGAAAAAGAUAAUCUUUAGAAACUUUUGUUCUUUCUUUGAAAGGGUCACCACAAAAAUUAAAUGUUUCCUCCUAGCUCUAUUCUAAAUUUCCUUCUUCUUCUCCUUUUUGGGUGCAUUUUUUAUAGAGUUUCAAUACUUAGAACUUCGUUAUAACUUCCCUGGAACUCUUAAGAUCCAUUUAUACUAAUUCUAAAUUGGAUUAGUCAUCUUUAAACUCAUCUUAGCUUGUCAGCUCCAACUUAGUGUCUUACAUGUGUAAGUUUAAUAUCUUCUCUAAUUAAGUUUAAUCCUAACCUUAAGAUGUGUUUAGUUAACUAGUUUCGAUUAAUGAGUCGUCUUCCUUCCCUCGCUUGGCUCGUCUUCACCUUGCUCAUCACUUGGUACUUGGUUAAGUGUUCACUACCGCCUAACUUUCUUCUUGUCUAGUUCUUCCUCGCUUAGCUCAAAACACUUACUAAACUUCCAUUCUCAUGUUAUCUUGUCUUAGCACGUCGCCUAUCUUUAUUAUGCAUAUUUCCCUUCCCUGCAUCACCUAGCAAGAACGCAUGCUCCCUUCUCACAACACGUCAUUCUUAUAUGCUUUGUCCCAUAUCAUUCCACCAGCAUACACUCUCUACAUGACUGCCUUUACUCAUUAUGUGCACAUAAAAACUAGUCCAUUGAUAGGAAAAUGACUAAUGGUUUGAACACAAUUUCAUAUUCAUUUUAAACACAUAAAGCAUAACAUAAAUUUUCAUUCAAAAUCUAUUUGAAAACAUUCAUGUAUGAAAUAUUAAUACAAAUCAGUAUAACAUUAAAGCUUUUAAAAUCUAAUAAAAUUUUAGAAAAUUACUCACUGUUUAAAUUCCCUUUCUAAGAAUGUUCAGCCUUCCUUUGCAACGCUUUUGAUCUCUUAGUUUUUCUCUUUGUAAAAUCUCAGAUGACAUCCUUUCUUUUUGUCUUCUUCUCUUAUUUAUAUUAGUCCUAAGUUGGAUUAGUCAUUUUUUAAACUUUUAUAAUUUCAUCAUCUCCUUCUUAACUAAAACCUAAGUCUUUGCAUCCCAUGACUCCUAGAAAAUCACCCCACUGAAGUAAUUAACCUUGAGAACCUCUUUAAUUUUCUACAUGAUUGUUUAACCUGUUACACGAUUGUCUACCUUCUUAUACAAUCGUUCAGUCUCUUAUACAAUCAUUCUAUCUCGUUUACACAAUCUUUAUCCCUUUUUUUCCUUAUAAGAUCGUCUAGCUAUUUUACACAAUCGUUUAACCAAAUUAGGAACGGAUCUCACAAAAUUCCAACAAACAUGAUGAGUGUUUGGUUAAAAAGAUGACAAAUAAAAUCACACUAGAUUUUUUCCAUUUGAAAUCAAGACUGUUUUUGAAAUAAACAAAAAAUAAUAAUAAUGUUGGCUAUACUUGUAAUUUGUUUUAAAAAUUGUUGUAUCACUAACUAGUUUUUCUAAAAAUGCUACUCAUUGCAAUUAUCCUUAAACACAAGGGUAUUUUACACGUCAUUAAAAACUCUCUAUAUAUACUUUUUAAUUAAAUUUAAUUUUAACUUGUUUCUUGAUGUUAUAUUUAAGAAGUAAAAUUUACAUGGAAUAUAACUUUUAAGUACCAAAUAUUAAAAAAUUACUAUAAAUAUUAUACAUAAUAUAGGGUAUAAUAUAGAUGUUCAUGAUUAACAUGUAAUGACCGAGUGUCAUUCUCGUUGCCCACGUGUAUUAGUACAUGUGACUAUAUGUUGUAUGAAAAUACAUGCUAUUUGCACGAAGCUUUUGAAUAAACGUGUUUUGUGGAGUUAAAUUUGUGUUGGUAUGUAGAUUAUGAUGUGACCCUAUAAUUCUCUCUUCAUUGAAUGUCUAUGCUUGAUUUGAGGAAAUAGAGCACGUGAUGCUUGAAGUUAGAGUCUUGGAAGAAAGCUUGUAUCUUCAAAAAAACUUCAAUACUUGAUAGUGGUCGACUUUAGAAGUUAGAGAGUCUUCUGGUUCUUGAGAGAAUUCUCUCCAAAUCUUAUGGAAUAAAAAUUUAUGUCCUCCUAAAUGAAAAGAACUCCUCUAUUUAUAAAGUUGAUCUCCAUCAGCUCGGCUGGUUCAUGGAUCAGACCCACAAACACAACCACAUGAAUUUAGGUCAUAUUUAACAUUAGAGCUAAAUUAAACUCUUUGUUUUUCUUAAUUGAACUCCCAAUUCCAAUUUAUUUGGUGUUAGAUUAAUUGGAAUUGGAAGUUAAUAAAUUUAUUUUGGAAUUUGGUUUGAGAAUGUUAUUAAUUAUAUAGUUUUGGUUAUAUAUAUUUAAUAAGUAGAAAAUUAAUGAUUAUAUAUUAUUGUAUAAUUAUUGGAAAAAGAAGUUAACAUCCCAAAUUUUAAGAAUUUUUUUAUUAAUUAUGUUAAAUUAUUUGAGUAUUAUAUUGGGAAUUGAAGCUAAAAUUGAAUUAUUGGAUUAAGAUAAUUGACGUUGGAAUUUAUGUAUUUUUUUUAAAAUAACUAGUUUAUCGGAGAGGAUUUAGUUAAUUAAAAGAAUUAAGAAUCUGACUUUUGAGAUCCUGUAAGAAAAAUGUUUUUGGUGGAAUUGGAAUUAUGUAUGAUAUUAAUUAUUUGGUUUUGUAAAUAAUUAAUAUGAAAAAAUAAAAGUGAAUUAAUGAUGAAAUAUAAUUAUAAUUGUUGGAAUAUAAGAUAAUUAAUUGCACAUGUUUGAGGUAGGUUUUACCUAUAAAAGUUAAAAGUUUUGAUAAAUUAAUUUUUGGAUUCUUUUCAUCCAAGGUUUAAUUGGCUAAAAUUUUUGGAGAUUUUUCUAUAUAUUGUUGAAUUGGAUAAUUCUUUUGUAAUUUUUGGUUAAUUCUCUCUAAUGUUUAAAUUUGAAAAAUUUUCCAAUCAAACCUGAUUUGGUUUCGACCUUAAAUUUUGGAUAACUUAAAUUGGAAAAAUUGAGAGGUUGGCCGGUAUCUUUUUUAUUAAGUAAGUUAUUAAAAUUUGCCCUUUUUGUUUAGGAUUAAAUCAACCGAGGAAAAUUUACUAUCAACCAAGAAUUAUUUUCAACUAAUCUUAGAUAAAAGAUUAUACUACUGAACUUUCAAACACGAAUUUAAGAACUUGCAUGUAUUUAUUAUUAUGCAUUGAUGGGAGCUAAAAUGUCUAAUAUGAUGUUAUAGUUGAUGAUUGAUAUUGUAUUAUGAUUAUGCAUGUUAUAUGGAUUACAUGAUUAUAGACUUUAUGACUAAUGAUUCAUGUCAUGUUUAUGUUGAUUGUUACAUGCUUUUGAAUUUAUACCCCACAUCUAAUAUGUAUUGUGUUCCUACUUAUGGAGUCACUCGCGUGACUAACACAUGCUUAUACCAAAAUAGAGUUGUUAGUCAUGCGUGGAUGCGGUAAGAAAUUUAUAAACUUUACCACUUUCAAAUUUCCUAUAGUUCUCGUAUAUUUUAUUUUAUUUUAUUUAUUUCCGGGAUUAUUUCUCUACAUGUUGGCUUCUAAAAUUAUUAUGCUAUUUUUAAUUUCUAUGAAACAUUUUAUUUGCAAAAAACCUAGAAAGUACCUCUUUUUUU